This 46510-nucleotide long non-coding RNA is filed under the name Eucalyptus grandis. RNAcentral describes it as "long non-coding RNA (EGRA_LNC000751)". The record is from RNAcentral. Lineage: Eukaryota; Viridiplantae; Streptophyta; Magnoliopsida; Myrtales; Myrtaceae.
GACAUUAAGGGAGGGUUGACAAAAUUACCUAGUGCGAUCUGGUUUGUUCAGUUAGUGGCUUAUUCUUUUUCGUCCCACGAUAAUGAGCUGUACUGUUUGAAAAUGCCAGACUUGUCAUGGACCCAAAUAUUUGGAUUACCCACCGUGGCGAGUCUCGUCUCUAAUAUCCGUGAACUUCGGAUGGACGCGUGGUAUAGCAGACGGCCCAACUUUUACCCCGAUGAUAAGCCGGAGAAUUUCACUUUUAAUUGCGAGUCCCUCGAGUGUAGCAAAUCUCAGAGGGAAAAACAAAUAUUGGCCUCCCCAAACAUGUGGUUCCUCCACCAGCUCCCGUCUAGUUUAAGAGACUCAGUAUUUCGAGGAGUGUGGAGUCUGGGUUUCUGUCGUUAUUGGAUGCCGAUAUUCGUUGGUAUAUGUGAUUCGGAGUCGGAGAAACUCCAUCUGCAGGAUUCCACGCUUUCAAGACGGAUUGAACAGUGUUGGCUGAGAAACAGGAAAUUCCCGUCCAGAUACCGUCGGAGGAUUCGUCGACAGCGGCAUCAGCCCACAAAAGCACUUGAGCCGUCGCAUAUGAAGAAUCUGCGAGAGGUAGAUCUGUUCGAAUGCGAGCUACUAGUCGAGAUUCGCGGCCUCGAAGAAUUGGGAUCCCUUUCAUCCCUUGCGGUCGCAUAUUGUAGGUCGAUCGAAAGGAUGCCAGACCUAUCGAAAUCGAGGAAGCUAAGGGAGCUUCGAGUGGGAAAAUGUCCGAAGCUAAGAAGCAUGGAAGGUUUGGACCGCUUGGAAUCUCUAAAGUGUUUGCGGAUUCACGAUUGCAGGUCUUUGGAGAGUCUGGUGGACACCUCGAAUUUGGAUUUAGAAUGUUGCCUGAUUGUCCGUUGCAAGCGGUUGCCCCACCGUGACAAUUAUUGUAAACGUGGCCAAGGUUGCUAUUGUGAGAUGCUUUUCGAGGGGUUGAGGAAAUCUGACCCGAUGGAAGUCCAGCAAGUAUUACAGGGACAUCCGGAUGUUGCGCCAGUAAGGAAUUUAUAACGUGGCUUGGUUGUUGUGCUUGGUGUAGCCAUUUUGUUUGUUUUGUUGUUGUUCUGUUGUUUUGUUCUGAGAAAAAGGCUUUCUCCCGGACAAAUAUUGGUGAUGAAGCUAAGGAAGUGAACGAGGCACGCUCAUAUGAUGCCAAAACGUUGUCCAAUUUUGAUCAGCUUUUGAACAUAGUACUCAGUUCAUCGAUUGCUGUCCAAACAUGAAGCUCUUGGCUUUUUUAAGGAUAGAGUCUUGACAAGGAUGCCUAGCUGAAAAUCUAAAUUGUUGUCACAAGCUGGUAGGGAGAUCAGGUAAAAACAGUGGCUUAUGCUGUGCAAACUUACUCCAUGUCUUAUUUCAAGUUUUGAAAGAAGUGGCAUGAAGAAGUGGAUGCAGUUAUAGCCAAUUUUUGGUUGGGAAAGCUUAACUGAAGCAAAGUUAGAAUGAGGUUUAGGUUUAUCACAGUUUGACAGAACCCUCCUUGCUAAGCUUGCUUGGAGAAUCCAAGCAACCCCUCGGAAUUUUGGGUGCAAAUAUUUGAAGCGCUCUACCCUUUGUAGCUUCAUGGAAGUUAGAAGAGGUGGCAGAGUGUCUUGGGGAUGGAGUAGACUUUUGGAAUGAGAGAUCUAAUUAAGGAAGGCAUGUUAUAACAAAUUGCUAGUGGGAAAUCAGUCAAAGUUGGGGAGGAUAGGUUGGUGAAGGAGAGUUGAGACUUGAUGCUGCAUCCUUCAAUCUGACUCAGGUGAUAAAGGAAUUAAGAAUGGAGUCUCUAAUUGAUGCAGAUACUAAGACUUGGAACUUAAACCCCAUCAAGGACAGCAUGCGGCAGGAGGAGCAGUGACUGGUGUUGAGAAAUCACAUAAGGUCGAGAAGUUCCGAUGACCAAAUGAUUUGGCCCUGGAACAGGAUUGGUUGUUCUUCAGUAAAGUCUCUACCACUUUACCAUGUAGAAAAGAAAGAAACAUCUACUAAAGCCUAGAUCCUCAAGCUCUCAUACUAUUGAUGGUAUAAUUUGGAAGUUAGCACAGGGAGUCGACUCUCCUCAAGAUAAGACACUUCCUCUAGCAACUUUGCUUGAAUGUUGUGCCUGAUGCUGCUACAUGUGCAAAAGAAAAAAAUAUAGUUUCUCCUGGCAAUGGUGCCCUUAAAAGUUUGUGGCAACAAACUUUCAUCCGACUAAUUUAGUCGUUCUUGACCUUUCACAGAGCGAUGUUUCAGAGAAAUGGAUUGGCUGGAAUCAAAUCAUAAUAUAGUACGAAUCUCACUCCUUGCAUACAUGUUUCAUUCCUUGUCGUUUUUUUUUUCCUGCAAAUAAUUUCUUAGUAUAUAUUUUGUUUUGCAAGUGGCAAGUAAACUAGAAGUACUAGAUCUCAACAAUUGUGAAUACUUAAUGAGAACACCUGAUUUAUCUAUGUUGGUGUCCUUGGGGAGAUUGACUCUUGAAGGUUGUCACAACUUAAUUGAAAUUGACCCAUCCAUUGGUAAAUUAAAGCUCCUAACUGCUAUGAACCUAAAGGGAUAUGACUCUUGUCAAGAGUUACCUGAAGAGAUAGGAUAUCUACAAGCUUUGGCAGAGAUUGUCAUGCCUAAUACCCUACAUGAACUUUCGAAGAGAUUUGGUAAUUUGCGGUCAUUGUUGACCUUUGAUGUAUCGCAUAGGCAGAUUAGCAAACUGCCAUACUUGAUUGGAGAGCUAGUGAAACUUAGGCGGUUGAUUUAUCAGGGUGUACAAAGAUAGAGGAACUUCCAGACUCAGGUUUGGAAAUUACAAUCCUUAGUUGAGUUGGAUUUGUAAUUGAUAAUAUUUGUGGACCUUAAAAAGAUUUAAAGAUUGACAAGUUUCCUCUGUUAUGUGCAGUGAACAAGAAGCACCACUCUCCAUUUUUGAGCGAUGAAGAAUGGCGUUUCGAUAAAAUAGCCAAAGAUGGCGGUCUAUGCAAGCACAAGAAUUUGAGUGGAAUCAACACUGUUGUAGAAAAAAGAAUAAGGGAAGCACAAGCAGUUUGCGACUGCAUUUAGUUACCAAAUUACCAGCCAUCUUCACUAGCAGUCAGAUAAGCACCGAGGAUGGUACUCCUCAAAGGAUCGAACUAGUGGAUGGCAAGACCAAUGAGAGGGUUAUGAAUGGCUCUCUAUCUUCCAUAAAGCUCAAAAUUGUCAUCCUUGAUGGCGAUUUCAGGUCAGAUGAGGGAGAGGAUUGGACCGAGAAGGAAUUCAAUUACAAUAUCGUUUGCGAAAGGGAUGGGAGAAGGCCAUUGAUAACCGGGGAGCUAAAUGUGAUCUUGCAAGGGGGAAUUGGUUGCCUCCGUAAUUUAAUCAUCACUGACAGCUUGAGCUGGAUGAGAAGUCGGGAAAUGAGCUCGAGUUGUUCAAAAGGUUUGUGCAGAAAUAAGAAUAAGUGAAGUGAGUGAAACUUUCAUCGUUAAAUAUCAGCGAGGAGAGUGUAAGUUUGCAAUGCCUAUCAUUUUAUGAUAACAAUUAAUUUCCAACCAUCAACUCUGUAUGUGGACCUUAGAAAGACUGACUGACAAGUUUUCUCUGUUAUGUGCAGUGAACAAGAAGCACUAUCCACAAUCACUGAGCGACGAAGUAUGGUGUUUGCAGAAAAUAGCCAAAGACAGCGCUCUGCACAAGUGCAUGACUUCGAGAGGAAUCAACAUUGUUCAAGAUUUCCUCCAGCUGUACAAAGUGGAUGCACCUUUCUAAGAAACAAAGUGACUCUUACUCUUCGAGCACUGCUAAUUUCCCUUUUUUCCAGUUCACGUUAUUCUAAGCAUUGUUCAAUAUCAAAUCGUGCUACUUCUUUUGUGUGCGAUGUUAUAUUAGGUACUUGGAAAUGAAAUCACCAAGCGGACAUGGGAGACAAUUGUCAAACAUGCCAGCCCCUGUGUGAUCAACGAUAACAUGUAUUUCUACCAAGCUUUGAACAAGGCCAGUAUAGUGUUCAAUUCGGUCAUGAAAGUUGCUCAAGCAGCACCCGAUGGCCAAAUUUACCAGUGGGUUGACAUAUUGGCCCACUCUCAGAAGGUACAUAAAUCAUAAACCGAAACAUCUCCAUCUAGUAGCUGAGUGUGAAUCUAUCUGGACCUAUAGAAAGGGCCUGUAUUUAUCGGAUUAGUCUGCUUCCAUGGCAGAAUAUAUACUGCAAGCACUUCUCUUUAAAAAGUACCCGUUUGAUUUUGGACUUGAUUGAACCCGCUGCUCGGUUGACAGAUUUUGUUGCAGAACUUGAAAUGGCUAGCUUACGAUAACAACAAUCAAUGGUGGCGCUUGAUGCCCUGCCCAGCAUCUCUCUUCUGAGAGCCCCAACCAAUUUGCCUACAGAGCCGUCAAUUGGCCUGAGCCUGCCUCUUCAUCAUCUAGUUUACACAGAGCUAAACCAAGGUAUUGUGGUAUUACAUCACUUCCAUCUAUCUUUUCCUUUUUGGCCUUCUUGAUCUUUCACAGUUUAGUGUUCCCAUUUCUUUAUUGGCACAUCCACCUUUAUGCACGUCUAUGGUAGCUGAAACUGAAAUGCAUCAUUAUUCAGAUAGACCAGAAGUGACUCCUGAAUUUAGUUACUCACUGGUUUCAGCAUCAUGCUGCUACAAUGUCACAAAGAUCAGACAAUUAGGUUGUCUGGGGCCACAGUCAUAUCACUACAAAAAUCUUUGAUCCGACUGUAAUUCAACAGCUUGGCAAGGGAGGACUUUUUGUCCAGUUUGAGUGCUGGCGAAAGCAGUCAUCUUCCUGGUUACACACAAGAUCUGUUUGCGCCAAACAUCCAUUUGUCUCCUGAGGAGCUUUUCCAAGUGCCAUCUCCAAUCCCUGGCAAUUUAAUGUGGACACCGGAGCAUACUUUCAUCAUUGAGUCGAGCAGCAGGGCAGAUUUUGGGAUCUGCCCAUCUCGCACGGGUUAUGGAGUCCAUAAUUCUAGGAUUGCAAGGCCCAAGGUGGCAUGGUGCAAGAUCCGUGAUGUGGUGAAGUGGGGAUUGGUUCAGCGCGUUGGGGCUGCAAAGAGAAGAGCAAUGUUCAAUUGUGCAAGUUAUCCAGCUGUAUAAAUGGAGAGUUCCAUCCCCCAAACAAAUUUUGGGUGCUUCAGGAGCGCGAAGCUCUCGCCCACACAAGCCAGUCACCACAUGCGAAGUUCAAAAAAGAAGGAAAUUCGUGAUACUUGAUGCUAGGAGAUUGUCUUUGGGGGUAUGAGAAUGUCUAAUUCUAGGGGUAAGCUGCCCAGGAUGCAUCAUCGACUUAGUAUUAUGCAUGAUCACUGCAAUUUUCUCUAUUGUUUUUUGUUGAUUGUCCUUUCAUAUUUGAAUGAAGUUGUGCACCAUCAAGAUGGGGCUGCCAAUUGGACAUGUCUUCUCUCUGUAGGCCACGCAAGCUGAUCUUAGGAAGUACCUCAAUACAGGGGUUCUUCCUCAAGAAUUGUAAGGCUUUUGCUCUCUUCUUCAAGAAUUGUUUGGCAUUCUGUUUGUCCCAAAUACAUCAUCCCUUGAUUUGUCAGUUUACUACUCUGAUAUGCUUAGUAGACUUUUCUUUGCUUUACAAAAUUUGUGAGUAUAUUACUUAGUUUGCGAGAUCCAAAGUUUCUCCUGUCAGCUUUGCUCUUAUUGAUCUGAAAUAUUAUAUGGUAACCAUUAGUCACAAAACCCACAAUCUUGACGGUAUAUAGUCAAGGUUCUUCUAUCGCCAAUGUGGGACCUUCUUUUCCAUCUAACAUUCCACCGAGUUCUUGUAGGCUUGGAUCUAAGACCGCUUCGAGACUAUUCCAGAGAAUAUUUCUGGGCGAGAAAAGAGAUGAAUUUUUCUCUUUCUAAAUUGUGCAGUUUUGCUUUCAUCUGCGAAAAAUUGAAAUGGAAACAAUCCAUCUUUAUCAUUGAAAAUAUGCAAGAUGUGCAAAGUUUCCCAUUUGAUCAAUGAAAAGUGCUUAUUUGAUUGUGAUAGUGAGUUCUAACGGAAGAAAUAGGGAGAACCAAAAAAGUAUCCUUGGGCAGAAAGUAAGAUCCGAAUACGAACUUGUAAAGAAAAGAGUGUACCAGCAAUCUAGGACGUUGCACACAUGUGCCACGUACCUAAAAUUGUCGAUGGUGUUAAGCAUGUUUUAGUUCCUAAAUCUGUCAUAGGUAACAGCGGUGAAAAAUGGAAUUCUUCUCUUGUAGGGCAAGGUCUUGGCAAGAAAGAGUAUUGGAUUUAUUUCCACUGCAGUGAAUAUGUUGUGGUGACGAGGAGAUUGAGAACGGAAUGUUCCUUAUGAACCUUUCCUCUUCCAGAACAUUGCGCACUAUCUUCUUGUGCUAAGAAAAUGGAAGCCUGAACUGCAAAGUUAGGAGGUCUCUUAUGUGAAAACUGUUGUCUAGGCUAAGCUGCAGAGCGUUCCUCUGUAUCUUCUGACAUUGGAGGGAAGUCUUGACGGCUUUUUCAAGAGUGAGAAAGGCCUAAGGCAGGUCAAUCCUUUAUUGCAUAUUUUUGUUAUGGUGAUGGAGGUUUUCCCAGAACUGUUCAAUAAUUCUGCAAGUCAUGGCAAAUCAAAAUACCAUUCUCAGUGCUCUAAGGGGAAACUUGCUGACGAUUUGAUGAUAUUUUCCAAAGGGGAUAUGGAUUCUUGAAUGAAACUAUUGACUUUGUUUCAGAGACUUAAGCACACGUCAGGUCUUAGUAUUAAUCCCCUUAAGACAGAGAUAUAUAUGUAGCUGGUAUUAAGUGGCAGCUAGUGGAUGAUAUACAUCUCUUGGUGGCUUGGCCAAAUGCCAGUUAGAUACCUUGGCCUUCCCCUGAUUUUGGGAAGGUUAAGAGAUAGAGUGUAAGCCUUUGGUGGACAAGAUUACUUUUCGAGUGAGUCCUUGGACAAUUAGGCAACUCUGUUGCGCUGAAAGAUUGCAACUAGGGGUGUGCAACGGGAACCGCCCGAACCGAGAACCGGCCGGACCAGACCGAACCGGCCGGUUUUGGGCGGUUCCCAUGGUUGGCGGUCCGGUUCCCGGUUCCUAAUCUUGGAACCGGUGGCCGGUCGGUCCGGUUCCCGGUUCUAAGGUGGGAACCGGACCGAACCGGACCGAAACAAAUUUUUUUAUAUAUAAUUUAUAUACAUAGAAUUAAUAAAUUAUAUAAACAUGAUAACUUAUUGCAACUAAAAUUGUAAUUUGAGGUAGCAUCAUCUUAUGUGGCCAAGAGACCAUUAAAACUAUUUUUAUUACUCUUUUUUUAUAGAAAAAAAUCUCCUUGUUAGUUUUUGUUGGAAAUAUGAUUUGUUUUUUUAUUCUAAUUAUCUAAAUACAGUUAAUUGAUUCUAUGAAUCCAUGAUAUUGGAUAUUAGGACAAUAGUAUAGGAAACAACAUAUUUUGUAUAUUCUUUCCUAUCGUACUCUUUUCUUGUAUUAUUAAUAGGUGUGUAAUACAUGUACAAACACAGCAAUACACAAUACAGAAAAUUCCUCCAAUUCCUUCUCAGUUUUUGUCAAUUUUCUUUCUCAUUUUCUAUCAGUUUCAUCUUCUACUUGAUGUGGGACUAAGGUUCCAAGAGACCCACAAGGCACUUCAAGCCUCCAACAAUCCCACAUUGACUAAACAUUUAAAGAGCAGAGAUUGUCUAUAAAAUCUAAGCCAUGCAUAACUUUUAGCCAAAUUAUUCACGGCUUUCAUGGUUAAAGUUAAGUGUGAAACACACAAAGUGUGAAUCACAUUUGAAUAUUUUGCACAUGGAAACAUGUGUGAUUAGUUUUGUUGAAUUGCUCAAAAACCGAAUUGGAUUGAUCGGUCCGGAGCGCGGUCACUCUUUUGUGCAAAAAAGUAUAGUCGAUUUUGUUGGACCGGACCGGACCGGACCGGAACCGAUGGUCGGUCCGGUUCCCGGUCUUAGGACCAAACGGUCCGGUCCACGGUUCACAAUUUUGGGAACCGGUGCUCCCGGUCCGGUUCCCGGUUCCAAGGUGGAACCGGACCGAACCGGGAACCGAUCACCCCUAAUUGCAACUCAUUGAGGAAGUAACAGCUUGGUGAAUUUUUGGAGUCAAAUUUUUUUGUUGCCAAAAAAGUUAUCAAUAUGAUGGAAAGCAAGUGUAACCCUUUUGGAAGGGAGAAUCUGAAAACGCUCGAGGUUCAAAAGUUGCCUGGAUGAUGCAUGUCUCCCCAGGUUUAAGGGUGGUUCAGCAUUGAGGAAACUAGGGCCUUGAAAUCUUGCUUGUCUAUUGAAGAACUUAAGGAAAUUUUGUUGCAGGUUGGAUCCAUUCGGGUGGCCUGGCUUAGCCGUUUCUUGCUUAAAGGGCAGUCUAUUUGGGCAAUGAAUCCAACUGGCGAGAGCAGCUAUGCUUGGAGAAAGUCUACUUGAAGCAAUGUAAAUUAGUAUAUAAUAUAUAGUUUCAUUUAAAAUUGAUAUUUGAAAAUUUGAUGGAGAAACGCGAACUCAAUUGUAAUUUGCAUUGCAAAGCAUGGCUUACGUUGUCACUUUUCUUCUUGUCCCAUAUAAAACUCGACCUCACUUACAACGUGGUUUUGAGAAGACUUUUUGAGAUUUACUACUUGUCAUGUCUUACACACAAUGGAUGAUGAGAUUGGAAAAAUGCAAAGUCAAGAUUUUCAAAUUAUGAUAUGGGAAAUCUAUUCUUAACUUUUCAUCACCAAUAUAUGAAGAUUACCAGAAGCCCACCGGACUAGAUCUUUGCUAGAAAUGCAUUUCCUCAUAGGGUGCGAACGAUAAUAGUUUUGUUUCUCUAUUUUUCUUUUCUCGAGAAUAGGUUUGGAAUAGAAAUCCGUUUGGUGAUGUAAUUUCAUUUUUUUAUCUUCAGAACAAAUUUUGCACCUAGAAAUAGGUUUGGAAGAAAAAUGAGAAGUAUAAAUUUUCUACUUUUCUCUUUCUAGAACAAAAAUAGAAAUAAAAACUUUUAAGGUGCGUUUGGUAAUCAUUCUGUUCCGGGGAAUAAUUUUUUAACAUAAAUAGUUUUUUUUUUGUUUUUAUUUCAUGGAACAAUUUCUGAGUAUAAGAACGCGCUUGGUAAUUGCAAAAAAAUUAUAUUCCAGGAAUAGAAAUACGUUUGAUAAACUUGUAUAAUUUUGUUAUUUCUUUUUAAUUUUUUAAUAUUUUUCCUUUUUUUCUUUUUUUUUUCCUUCUUUAUUCUUUGUAACCGGUGGCCGGCGGCUGGCGACCGGCGAGGUCCGACGAGCUUGCCGAAGCUUCACCAGGCCACUGCGAGGGCCGGCGAGCUCGCCGGAGCCUCACCAGGCCACCGCGAGGCUCAGCCUCACUAGAUAUGGGCCUCGCCGGUGGCCUCAAUAAAUAGGUGAGCCUCGCCAAGCCACCGGCGAGGCUCAAGCUUGCCCAAGCGACGCGAGGUCGGCCUCGCCUUGGAGCUUGCCCAGCCAAGGCGAGGCCGAGCUCGCCCAACCACCGGCGAGGCUCGGCCUCGCCAAGCCGACGUUGGGCAACAUCGCCUGCCAGUGGCCUGGCAACUCUCUGGAGAGGUUGUCGGCCCUCUACGGCCGGUCACUGACCAUGGCCGAGGCCGGCGACCAGCCAAAAGGAAGAAGAAGGAAAGAAAAAAGAGGAGAGAAAAUUUGUUUCUCAAAAUUGUUCCUGAGAUUGAUCUUGGGAACAAGAAGUUACUCUUUUCUACUUCUUGUUUUUGUUCCAAAUCUGUUCUCGGGAACAAAAGUUUUACCAUGUUUCUAUUUUAUUUUUGUUCCCCGGAACAAAAGAACAGAAAUUUUUGUUCCGGGGAACAAAAACACUUUUUACAUCACUCAUCCUUGUUGCUACCCUCCACCGGCCGUCGCUGUCCUCCACUGGUCACCUGCCCUUCGCCACCUAUUGGUCAUCGCCCUCCACUCGCUAGCCACUUGCCAGCCACCAAUCACCACCUUUCAUCGGCUGCCACCAAGAAAUUUUAAGACCUAUCAAACGAAUUUCUAUUUCGAGAAUGUAAAUUAUGUAUUGUUAUCAAAUACAUGUCUUUGUUCAUCAACUCAUCCAAUGAAUAGAAAUAGAAAAAUCUAUUUCUUACAAGAAAAUAUUACCGGGAACAAAAUGAUUAUCGUUUGCACCCUUAUUGAACUUGAAUUUAACCGGAACAAAUCAUAAUGCAGCGGAAUCUGAAUGGGUUCCAUAGGUAAGUUAAAAGACAAAAAAGAAAAAGAAAAAAUGUUGAAAGGUCAACGUCCCCAAGACAUGUCAGUGGGAGCUUAGGCAAAGAAUUUUCGCGGAGCAAACCUGAAAUGCAGUUGAUCACUUCGUCUCAAUUGCUCUCAGCUCACCUGUGACAUGACCGUUGGACGAUGACCACACACGUUCCACGUUCCUUUUUUACGAAUACUUUACAGAGGAUCAACAUCCAAUAGAUCAUCAGCGUAAUCUGGAGUAGAGUUUCCCAUAUCUAAAGGUCGAAAUCGCAUUUUCUUGAAAACGUCGUCCGCCCCUCUUCUCCAUUCCCAUCGCGAUCUACAUCGUACACCACUGAAAAUUAGUCCACAAAAUGCAUGAGAAAUUGCAUGGCAAAUAUUUCGCAAAGAUAAAAUCGGCAUUGAAACCAGAAAAAGGAUCCAAAUGCCAAUGUUCCCACAAAUAUGAGAGCUCACCAUUAGGGAUGGGCAUAGGGGCGAGUCCAAUCCCCAGCCGGCGAACUAGGAACCUGCACCAUCCCUGUCCCGUUCCCCACGCGUGGUAGGGUGUUUUGCGCGGUUCCGUUGAAAGGGCAGCAGAGGGUAAGAUAGAGAGAGACAGUGUAUUAACACUUUGCCAAAAAUUUUGCCUUAAUUCCCACUAGUAUCCGUGUAUUAAAAUAGAGCGGGAGGUACACUCAAGUCAACGCUUAGCGAGCCAUACCAACAUUGUCCAUAACAUUGUCCGUAGCGAGCCAAACCAACAAGAACCGACGCCCAGAGCUUAAUGGAUAAUUAGCGAAGACACUCAAGUCAACGCUCUAAAGUCAAACCUGAAACUGAAUACACCGCCAAAAACUAAAGGGCCGUUUGAGGAACUAAAGAAUCGACUACUCAGGAUGAGUUUGAAGAGAGUAGCCUGGUCAACUUCGACAAACUCAGCGACCCAGGCCUUUGAGGACGUCCUCGAUGGUGCCAUCGUCGGACUUGGCAAACUCGACGUGCUUCUUGCAGUACUCGAUUGACAUUGAAGUACGAUCGUAAUUUGAGGAACCAUGAUCACCACGGCGAAUGCACACCAAUGGGAGAGGCAAGGACACAAAUGCAGUCGAUGAGGAAGAUCACCCUUGGGAGCUCUGACGGUGAUCCGUUCGAGGUCAACGAGGCUGUGGCCGACGAGUCACAUACGAUCAAGCACAUAUACUCACCCUCAUUAUGCACAAUUGUGGCUGAUGUUUUAUCCCAUGUACUCAACAAUGCUCUGUAGGAGUGUUAGCGUCAGGGAAUUAAGCUUAAAAAGGAGAGUCCUGAGCCCCCCUUCUCUUUACAUAUGGCUUCCUAUUCUUUGUUGUUGCUGACCCUGUUUGAACUGCGGAUGUUCCCAAAAGAUUGUUGACUGUAUUGCACUCUUGUCCGCAGGAUUAUCUUGCAAAAGUCCUGUAUAUGCUUCAGUCCUAACACGGGUGCAAAGUUGAGAACAGAGGUAAGCACAGUCCAGGGAAUCAACGUUAUUCAGAACCCUGGUAACUAUUUGGGUCUACCUAUUCUAUGGGGUAGAUCUAAACGUGAAGCUCUUGGCUUUGUGAAGGAAAGAGCCCUGAAAAGAAUGCCGAGCUGGAAAACUAAAUCGGUCUCACAAGCUAGUAGAAUAGGUAUUACAACAAAAAGUAAUGCAAUGAAAUAAAAUAUAAAUCAUGGUAUAAAUACAUGUUGUAUCAGAAACAAAAAGUUAUGAAUAUUCAGAACUCAUUUUAUGAACUCAUUUAGCUAGUACAACAAAAAAGUUGGAAUAUGUGACCCCAUGUUGUAUCAGAACUCAUUUUAUGAAUAUUCCCGGUUCCUAAUGAAAUAAAAUAUAAGUCAUGGUAUAAAUACAAGAAGUUAUUCAAUAUAUCAUAAUAAGAUUGUUAAACAAGGUUAUCUUCUCAUCACUCCCUAAUAUUUCUUGAUUUCUUUUACUUUCUUUUUUUUUCAAAAGCGAGUUUGCUUCCCUAGCAAAGAAGGCAAGAGUUCAAGAUUCCAUUAUGAUAAAAUCAGAGAUUUAAAAAAAAAAACUACUGAAGAAUAUAUAUUUUUAUAAUCAAACGGAAGCGCUAUUACUUGUAAGGAAGAUGAACUCUGCCUAAUUAGCUUUUUCUUUUCCCUUUUUAUAUUCACCAACCGGUGAAGAUGAUAUGCUUGGCUCUCCUUAAGCUUCCUGUGAUUCCAAGGCUGACACCUAAGCUUCAAUCACAAUAAUAACUCAUCCCAUCUUAAGAGGAGACCUAUCAUCCAAUUCAUUCUUAAUUCAAGGAUAUCUCUAAGCCCUCUUUUGCUUUUUAUCACGCCUUAUGUUGAAAUCCACAAGGAACCAUUCUAGAUUUAUCUUCCUCAAGUGGUGGAAAUUACAAUUAUAAAUAAUCAGAAUUGGAAUUGACUAUCAAAAUCAAAACGUAUUGCUUUCUAAGAUGUGUUAAUCAUUACCAUUGUCUUGAGCAAAGGCUUGACGUUAAUAAUUUCCAAUCAAAAUUGAUUGGAUGAACUCAAUUAAUAAAAAGUUAGUAUAUUUUAGAUUUUUUGGAUAAUUUUCCCCUACUAAAUCCACUAUACUAUGGAAUUCGAAAUUAAACGGACCAAAUCACAACGCAACCCAAUCUGACUGGGUUCCGAUAGGCAAAGAGAAAAGACAAUUCAGAUUGGUCAAAAAAAUCUAAAUUAUGAUGUCACCGCGUUGAUCGGCACAAAAGGUCAACGUCCUCAAGGCACGUCGGCGGGAGCUUAUCCAACAAAAUUUCCAAGCAAGAAAGAAGAAAAACAAAGGAAAAAGAAAACCAAGUCAGCUUCUGAAUGAUCAAUCUUUUCUUGUUCAGUAUUCAAAAUGAAAAACAGAAGAGCCCACUGUCUUCAGAAAUGAAAACCAUCAAACUCGAUCUACUCUAAAGAACACAAGGCUAAUAGAUUCUUAUUCUCACCAGCACACAACAAAACAACAUCUCUCUCUCUCUCCCUCCCUCCUAUAAAUUACCCUCUUCACCACAUCUUACCUUGAAUCCAACAAGCCGUCGAACUCUUCAGUUUGUCCAUAAAUCGUACCAAAAAAGGACAGAACAUCUGGUUUUUUUGGCCUGUCUCUGUCUCGUCCUUGCUGAAAGAGGGGGAUGGCUGAGACGGUAGCGAGAGAGAGGAAGAUACUGGUGGCGGUGGACGAGAGCGAGGAGAGCAUGUACGCCUUGUCGUGGUGUCUCCAGAACGUCGUCUCCGAGAACUCCAAGGACACCCUCGUCCUCCUCUACGCAAAGCCCCUUCGUUCUGCCUACACAGCCCUCGACGGCACAGGUAAAAAACUAAACGUCAAGAUGUUCUUCUUCUUGUUCCGACAUGGUGGGGGUGGCGGCAGCAAUGAGGGCCUCCUCACCAUAGAGGCCCUUGUUGAUUUGCUUCCAAAACCCUUUUUUUUUUUUUUUAAUUAAUUUUUUAAUUUAAUUUAAUUAAUAUUUAUAUUAAAAAUCAAAUUUAUGGGCAAAACAGCGUAUUGCUGACUAAGCAUUCCAAUGAGUAACGUGGAUAAGUUUUAUUAUUGAAAUAAUGCAAUAUCAGAUUUCUAACUACUUUCGUCAGAAUUAGCACUUAAGUAUCCAUUUUUUUUUUAAAUGCCACUUAAAAUGCCACUUAAAUGUAUUUUUUGAAGUUUUGGCACUAAAGUGUUGGCUCAUGCCAAGUUUUGGCACUUAUGGUGUACAUUUGCCCUCGUCCUCCUCUAUGGAAAGCCCCUUUGAUCUUCCUACAGGUAAAAAAACUAAACGUUCUUUUGCUAUGGAGACCAUCUCUUGCGAUUAUAUUUAUAGAGUGGUUUUGACAUUUUUAUUUUUCAUUUCGUUCUUUGUUCCGGUACCUGUUUUCUUCAGACAUAGUGGCCACCAUGGAGAGGUACAACAAUGAAAUGGCCGACUGUUUUAUGGCUAAGGCUAAGAAGAUCUGCCAUGAUUGUGGUGAGAUGAGCUCUUAUUAAGGCAUAAAUUUCUAAAUUUCAAUAAGCGAAAUAUCAAAGGGAUUACUGUGAUGGUUGACCUGGGUAUGGUUGCUGUUAUUGGGGACAGGUCGAGGUGGAGACGAGCGGGAGAAUGGGGAUGCAAGAGAUGUGAUCUACCGAGGGACGCAGAAGUUGGCACCUGAUGUUCUGGUGAUGGGAAGCCAUGGGUACAGCCUUAUCAAGAGGUACUUCAAAUACUCAUUUCGUUUAGUUACUCAAAAACUCCUGAUAUCGACCCUAACGCUAGAACAUUGCUUCAGUGGAAAGACAUGUAUUAUGUAGCCCUAGAUUGAGAAAUGCUUGCAUUGCAAGUGUGGGUGAACGAUUUUACGAUAGGUAGGUUCCAGAUUAUUGUUGUGAGUAGCAUUCGAGAACCAGGCCUAACUUUAAAUGUUGUCAUCAUUGUUUUGGAAGAAAAUAUAAUGUAAACAAUUUGUGGUAUGGUGGUUAAGAAACUAAAGGAUUCAUAAAUUUUGGGUUUGAAACCCAUCUCUAGCAUAUCUAACAUUUCUUUAUAUAAAAUGAAAAGAGCAAAUGAAAAUCGGUCCAAUUGCUCACCCUAGUUGAAAGUUGUCCUCACCUAUACGCGGGCAAUCUAAAAGUCUCUAAGUUUUCGAUUGACUAUUUAAUGAUUUAUUCCUAUUAGUAGAAUGAGGGGAAGUAAUAAGCUUUUAGUCUUAAUUGUAAAUUUCUUUUUUGUUUUGGCAAGUAGAUUGUAAUAUUUGUAUGGAUAUUGGCUAGUGAUUGGUGAAAUGUGGCAGGGCGUGAGCUAUCACUAUACUCAAAAUGUCGAGUGCCCUAUGUUGGUAGUGAAGAGACCCACAUCUAGCAGGAAUAACUAAAACUCGAAUCUGUAAAGUUUGUGCUUGGGAUCUUCCUUGGUUGGGUCCAAAUCCUAGGUUGCCUUUAAGCACUUUGUCAAGUUUCAUUGUAUAUACUCCCACAUUGUCUAGUGUCCUCAUUGUUUCUUACCUAGGCUUUCUGUACAUGCAUAUUCUUCGUCAAUUAUGACUUAUGAAUGGAUUGAUUUUUUGUUAAUAAAACUUUAUUAACACCCAAAUUUUGACGGAUCUACUUAAUCAUUCAUUAAUUACAUAAAAAAUUAUGGAUUAAUUUUUAACCUUUAGAAAAAAUAAUUUUCAUUAAAUUGCAUUGCAUAAAAACAUUAGGAGCAUUUGCAUUACUAGUAUUAAAGUUUAAAAAAAUUUAAGAAUUUUAAUAUUAUAACUUUUAUAAUUAUUUAUAUAUAUAUAAAUAUAUAUAUAUAUAUAUAUAUAUAUAUAUAAAUUUAAAAAAAGUAAGACCCGCCUUCUUUUUUUUACCCUCUUCUUCCUCUUUCCCGUAGCCCGCCCUCUCCCUCGCGCUCUCACGCGUAAAAAGGAAAAAAUAGAAGGCUCGUACGAGCAGAAGGACAAGAGAGCAGAGGGCAAAGCGUCUCACCGGAGUGGGUGGUCGGGUGCAGACCAGCGACGGCAGCUGGUGUCACGGGAGGCCAUGUGCGUCGGUGGCCAUUAAAAGGAAAGAGAGGUAGAGAGAGAGGGGGCAUUUUUACAGAGGAAGGAGACUGAGAGGGAGAGAGGCGCGUAGAGCGAGAGCCGAGAUAGAACGGGGAGCGAGAGUGAGCUGGGCCGACACCGCGGCCACGCACGAACUCCGUCCGAUGACCACGCCCGGUCGAUGUCUUCAAGCCGAACGGGUAAAUCUUUCUUUUUUCCCUCUUUUUUUCUGCCCUGUUUUGGGGCACGCCGGGCCGGAGCUCGCGACCGUCUGGCUCACGCGAACUCCGGCCCCGUCCAUCCCUCCUUCGGUUGUUGUGUGUUUCCUUGUCUGUUUGGCGAGAGUCCCGGUUUUGGUUCGGGUCCCUGGUCGAGUCGGAGACCUCACGAUUCGUGCGCGCCCUUCACCCAUUCGCCGAAAUGCUUCUUCAGUGAGAUCUAGUUUUCAUCCUCCCGUUUUUAGACAAAACCGAGCGUCCUGGAGUUGAUUCGUUCUGUUGAGGCGGGUGUUGUUGAGUUUGCCGUUCCGGGCGUCGGUCGUUUCGCCAUAUUCUCGCCACGGCCGUCAUUGUUUAUGUUUGCGCGUGGCCGAGGGCGCCACGGCCGGCGAUGUCAGGUUCCGGCCUAGGAGUGACGGCCUAGACGGAGGGGUUGUCUUCAGGGUGGCCGUGUUUUUUCUGCUUGGUCCGCGGCCGCUCACGGUGGUCGUCCGCGGAGGCUCCGCAGUUUCUUGCGGAUCGGCGUCCAAGCGGCCCCGUCAUGGUUGUCAUUGGAGCCUCACCGGCCAGACGAAAGCCAAGUGCUCGGCCCCGGGGCGGCUGAGGCGAAGCCUAGAGGCGUCCUUGGCCGGGCGAAGACGGGCGGCGUCGCUCAUCGCGGCCAUCUCCGUCGCGCUGAGACUGCCGCGAGCGUGGGGGAGGAGCUGCGGUUCGGGGGAUGGAAUGAGUACGAAGGAUGGACUCAAGGCUUGGGGUCUUGAUUUUGGUUUGGACUGAAUUGGGGAUUGGGCUUUAGGAUAAACUUAGGUCUUUUUAAGUGGGCUCGGUUUAGCUUUGGAAAGCUUGGGCUUGUUAAUUUAGCUCUUGGGUCGAGCUUGUUUUGUUAGAGUUGGACUUAGCUAAAUGCUGGAGGAAUUGGGCUUAAUUCUAUGAGGUGAGCCCAAUUCGUUUUUUAAUUAAUUAAAGCCUCCUAAUGUGUAAAGCCCAUUUCACGUCCUUGAGCCCAGCUUCGUAUGAACUGAUGCAGCCCAUUUUUGGGACUGCGCCCGAGUCCCUAUUGUCGGAUAAAAAUUUUAAAAUUUUAAAAAUAUAUUUUUUAAAAUAAAAAUUUCGAAUUUUUUUUUUCUGAAAACUAUGGAAAAGCUAAAAAUAAAAAAUAAAAAAUAUCUUUUAAGUAUUUUUUUCUUAAAAUGUGUAAAAAUCCUUAAUAAAAAAUUCGUGUUCAAAAUUGAACAAACUCUUAGGACUUCGCUAUAGGAUUUGGAUGUCCUUAAUGGCAAAUGGUAGGCUAUGAUUUGUGCACUUCCAUUUCCAUGAUCACUUGAUUGCACACUUUUAAAAUGUUGUUUGUUGUUUGCCUUUAGUCUAGUUAGGGGAUGACAAGAUAACAUGACAAUGAUCAAUGAAUGCCAAAAAAUGGUAAAAGUCUAGCAAAAUAAAGUUCAUGAUCGUGUCAAGUGAAGAAUCAUACCUAUGCAUCAUCGUUAGCAUCGGUAGAGUCAGCACUCUCACCCAUUUUAAUUUCAAAAUCAAAGUGACCUCCGGCAUCAUCAUCUUCAAAAAAAGAUGUGCACUUCCUUUUUCCCCUGUCAUAGAUUUGUACAGUUUAAACCAUCCAAAUAAAUAAGAUUAGGAAUUUUUAAAGAAUAGGUAUAGAAGGCUUACAUCUAAAUCUACUGGAUCAUUGGCUUACUAGAAAGGGCAUAAAUCGAAGUCGGAGAAAUAGGAACAAACCAAUGUGAAUAGAACAUCUCUCUCUCUCUCAAUCGAAAUUGCGCCUGUGAAUAGGUACAUUAUAAGUAUUGUCAAAAACCCUAAGCUAUCCAGGGGAAAAUAUGCAACCAUGCAAUACCCAGCAUCACAAGCAUAACCUCCAGAGAUACGAGUAUUGAUUUCCUGUCAACUCACCAAUUUAGUAACUGUUCACAUCCUUGUUUGUCAAUAUAUAUAUAUAUAUAUAUAUAUAUAUAUAUAUAUAUAGACAAUUCAGAUAGCAUUAAAUAAUGAAGCGAUUUGAUCUUAAAACUUCUAUGCUCCUUUCUAAUUACCAAAAAAUAUGAGUUAUAACAGAUCUAGGUUACCUCUUCAUCUCAUUUCUUCUCAGCCUUGUCAGACGCUGCCUUCUCAGCCUGCAAAGAAAAAAUAAAGCCCAUGAAUACUCUAUACUCUUACCAAAUUCAAAAGUAAAACUUACAAGGAGCAAAACCACUUGCAUCCUUGUUCUUGCCCCAUGUUUCUUCAGCAAGCUUCGUGGCAUACUCAGGAUCAUCACAGACCAAGGCAUUAUUGAAUAAGGUUCCAGAUCUGACUUGACAAAUCGAGCGUAGAGUAAACCGAAUUUUGAGCUCCCGGAACAUUGUUAUUAAAUAAAACUGGAUCGGUUACAGAAAAAUUACCUGCCACAGUUCAUUCCAACAUGCUUUAAGAUGGGGAAGCCAUAGAGCUCUGGGUCAUCUUUGAAGUCUAUAAAAAAUACAUAGGAUAGACUUCAAAGAACUUUCAAAUAACAGCAAACAAUAGCAGCGAACAAGAAAAGAAUAACAUUGAUGUACAUCUAAGCUUAAGAAAAGAACUAGUGAUUAAGACCCUGGGUUGUCCAUUAUUGGUGCCUUCCACUUUUCCCUGUAGUUGGGAUUCUUAAUUCUCUGCAAAUAAGCAUGAUCAAGAGAAUCCCUUAAAGCAGUCCAGAACGUAGACUCACAAGUUGCAUACCUUUGGCUUCCAUGGACCCUUUUAUUUAGGGUUGGCAAUGGUCGGGGUAGUCCACUCACCAUCCACCUCAUUGGCCCAGUCUUUGGGCUUAAAUCAUAAUCUUGAUUAGUAACUAAAUAUUGUACAUCAACCUCAUGAAAGCAUGGUUGAUAAUCAGCUUCAAAUCGAAAUCAUCGUUUAGCAGGUUUACCAUCUUGGCAGUGGGAUUUGGUGUCUUUUUUGGGAUGUCAUCAAUCAUAGCCCUGUCAUCACAUCUACAAUAUCCUUUUAAAAGAUUUACAGGAAUACUGCAUUUAAGAAAUCCAACAAAUAGAAGACAAAAUGAUCAUAUAAUCUUCUGGCGUGCGAAACCUAUAUGGGGUGUCGCCACCAAACUCUUUCUGAUCAACCUCCCUACUGAGUAGCUUUAUGUGCCCCNNNNNNNNNNNNNNNNNNNNNNNNNNNNNNNNNNNNNNNNNNNNNNNNNNNNNNNNNNNNNNNNNNNNNNNNNNNNNNNNNNNNNNNNNNNNNNNNNNNNAGAGUCAUGUUUUUGCGCAUGUAUUACAGAGAAUUGGGAAACUAGUCUUUGUCCUUGUUACAGAAUUUAGGGCACUGAGCUGAUAUAGCAUAGAAUGUAUAGUCUUCACUUUUUUGGAUACCUGCAAAUGCAAGGAGGGAUUACUGCUACAGAAUUUGCCAUUAGUCACUCCAAUUUAAGGAAACUUUCCAUCUUCAAUAGGUAAUUGACUCAACUUACCAUGUUGAAUUUGCAAGAUGAAAAAUUCUUAGGUUAAAUCUAAUCUUCCCUUGGGAAGCUCGUCCAAAUCUCCUCUUUGGAUCUUAGCUUUAAUCAACUCUUUGGGAAAAACUACUUCCUUGACCAAAUUCACCAACCUCAUUUACAAUCGGUCAAAUUCCAGCUGAGAUCACUAGCCUCACCUGUCAACUUAUCUAAACCUAUCCUUUAAAAAAUCAGCUGAUCCAACUCCUGAAAACAUUUCUAACCUCAGAAUCUUACUAUCCUAGACUUGCAAUCAAACAACCUAAAUGGCACUUUGUUGCUAAACCUGGUGCUCAGAUUAAAACACUUAAUGGUGUUGGUACUCCCAUUUGAUGAAUUCUCAUCAAUUAUUGAAUCCAAAAUGAAUGCUAGCCUUUCAAACUUGUUUGCUCUCUACUUGGCUUCAAGCAACUUAAGUGAGUUCCGCAUCUUCCUAUUGGACCAAAGUAGGUUGCAAAGGUUGGACCAAUCCCAAAAUAGCAUUUAUGGGCUGCCAUCUCGGUGGUUCUUAAUUGUAAGUAUAGCAAAAUUGGAGUUUUUGAAUCUUUCCAGAAAUUUUGUACAAGUUUCACAGCUUUUAAAUGCCCAAAUCUUAUGACAUUAGACCUUAGUUACAACAAUGUACAAAGCUUACAAUUCCCCCGAAGGCCAAUAAAUUUUAUUGUCUUCAAUAACAAACUAUCCGGAGAAACAUCACCGGCUAUAUUCUAGCUAAGCUCCACUUUAAGUCCAAGAACAAGUUGACCGGCGUUAUCCUGCCAUACUGAGCAAUUUGAGCGAGGCCCUUCUCACCUUGAGUUUGCAUGGCAAUGAUUUUUAAGGAAGAUUUCCUCCAUUACAGACUAAUGAAAGUGCAAUGGGAAUGACAGAUUUGGGUGCUAACCAACUACAAGGGAACUACCAAGGGCAUUAGCCAAUUGUAACAGUCUAGAUUUUCUCAAUUUGGGAAAUAAUCAGAUGGUUGACACCUUCUCUUCAUGAAUAGGCUUGCUUUCUUGUUUGAAGGUGCUCAUUAUGCGUACCAAUAUAUAUUUCUGUAGCCAUGAGGGACUUCAAUGCUCGUUCUCAGUUUCCUAACGUACAAAUUGUCGAUCUAUCCAUGAACAACUUCUUGACUGGCCUCCCAUCUGAAUACUUGAUUGCUGGAGUGACACGAAAGUCAACAAUUCAGAUGAUGCAACUACUAGAGGAACUACGUGCCCCCAUACCUCCCAUUUCCUGAGUUUGAGGGAAUUAUGACUACUCAAUGAUGAUAAUCAACAAAGGCAUUAUAAUAACAAAAGGUUAUUAUCUUUGGAAAUUGUUGGAAAAUAUGGUAACGAUUAGAGUCACAAAGCCCACAGUCUUGACUGUAUAUAGUCAAGGCUCCUCUAUCGCCAACGUGGGACAUUUUUGUCCACGUAACAUUCCCCCAAGUUCCUGUAGACUUGGAUCUAAGACCGCUUCAAGACUUCAUUUUCCAGAGAAUAUUUCUGGGUGAGAGGGGAUGAAUUUUUCUUUUCUAAAUUGAGCAGUUUUGCUUUCAUCUGCAAAAAAUCGAAAUGGAAACAAUUAAUCUUUAUCAUUGAAAAUUAUGCAAGACGUGCAAAUUUUCUGUUUGAUAAAUGAAAAGUGUUUAUUUGAUUGUGAGAGUGGGUUCCAAGGGAAGAAAUAGGAAGAGAACCAAAAUAGCAUUCUUGGCCAGAAAGUAAGGAAUUUGUAAAGAAAAGAGUGUAUCAGCAAUCUAGGAUGUUACGCAUGACGUACCACUUACCUAAAAUUGUCAAUGGUGUUAAGCAUGUUUUUAGUUCCUAAAUCUGUCAUGGAUAACAGCGCUGAGAAGUGGAAUUCUUCUCUUGUAGGGCAAGGUCUUGGCAAGAAAGAUUAUUGGAUUUAUUUCCUCUACGGUGAAUAUGUUGUGGGGAUAGGAGGAGAUUGAAAAUAGAAUGUUCCUUAUGAGCUUUCCCUCUUCCAGAACAUUGCCCGCUAUCCUCUUGUGCUAAGGAAAUGGAAGCCUGAACUGCAAAGUUAGGAGGUCUCCGAUGUGAAAACAGUUGUUGGGUUAAGCUACAGAGCGUUCCUAUGUAUCUUCUGACAUGGGAGGGUGGUCUUGAGGGUUUCUUCAAGGGUGAGAAAGGACUAAGGCAGGUUGAUCCUUUAUUGCAUGUUUUUUUAUGGUGAUGGAGGUUUUCCCAAAACUGUUCAAUAAUGCUGCAAGUCAUGGCAAAUCAAAAUACCAUUCUCAGCGCUCUAAGAUGAAACUUGCCGAAAAGGGGAUAUGAAUUCUUUGAACGAAGUAGUGGCCUUGUUUCAGAGACUUAAGCACACGUCAGGUCUUAGUCUUAAUCCCCUAAAGACCGGGAAAUAAAUCUAGCUGGUAUUAAGCGGCAGCUAGUGGAUGACAUACAUCUCUUGGUGACUUUAAAAAGGGCCAAGUGCCAGUUAGAUACCUUGGCCUUCCUCUGAUUUUAGGAAGGUUAAGUGAUCCAGUGUAAGCCUUUGGUGGAUAAGAUUACUUUUUGAAUGAGUUCUUGGACAAUUAGGCAUCCGAAAGAUUGCAACUCAUUAAGGAAGUGACAGCUUGGUGAAUCUUUGGAGUCAAUUUUUUUUUUUGCCAAAAAUGUUAUCAAUAUGAUGGAAAGCAAGUGUAUUGCCUCCCUUUGGAAGGGAAAAUCUGAAAGCGCUCGAGGUUCAAAAGUUUCUUGGAUGAUGCAUGUCUCCCCAAGUUUAAGGGUGGUUUAGGAUUUGAGGAAACUGGGGCCUUGCAACUUUGCUUGUCGAUUGAAGAACUUACGGAGAUUUUGUUGCUGGCUGGAUCCUAUGGGCCCUUGAACAUUGCCCACUGUCCAUUUGGGUGACAUGACAAAAUUUCUUCAGCAUAAAUUAAUUUCUCAAUUUCUAUUCCCUAAAUAAAUUUUUGAGUAAAGAAACGGGUUUAUCAACGAUUCAAAAUUUUUGUUUUUAGAAUAGAAAUUCAUUUGAUAACAAAAUAAAAUUUCUAUUUCUAGGAGAGGCAACGGCGGGCAUCCGUGGUCCGAUGAUGGGCGUCCAACGAUGGGUGGCUGACGUUCGGCAUCAGGCGGCGGGCGACCGGCGGCCGGCAAUGGGUGAGCAGCGAGUAGUAAUAGGAGUGAAUGAUAAAAAGAGUGUUCAUUUCUUACUUUUGUUCCAAAAAUAGAAAAAAAAAUAGAAAAAAAUAGAAAAGCUAAUAAUUUUAGGACGCAUUUGGUAACGAUUCUGUUCCUGGGAACAAAUUCUGAUUUGAAAUGAUUUUUUUUUUAUUUUAUUCCUGAAAACUGAUUCUGAGUAAAAGAAAAUGCGUUUGGUAACUAUACAAAAUUUCUGAUUCUAGAGUAGAAUUGCAUUUGGUACCGUGCUAAUUGAUUCUAUUCCAAAUCAUUUUUUUUAUUUUUUAUUUUUUAUUUUUUUUUAUUUUUUUCUUUUCUCUUUUUUCCUUUUUUUUUCUUUUCUUUCUUUUCUUUUUUUCCUUUUUUUUUCUUUUCUUUUUUUUAAAUUUUUUUUCGCCUAUUCUUCUUCUUCUUCAAGCCGGUCGCCAGACCGGCGACCGACUAGAUGAGGGCUAGCGACCUCAUUAGAGUGUUGCCAGCCCUCAACAAGGCCGGCCCUCGUCGGCCGAGCCUCGCCGAUAGCUGAGUGAGGCUCGACUCGCCAGAUCCAGCAAGGCCGAGCCUUGCCGAUGGCCAGGCCGGCCUCGCCGGGGCUGUGCGAGGUCGACCUAGCCACCGACGGGGCUGGACAAGCCUCGCCGGUGGCCAGGCGAGCCUCGUCAAGGCUAGGCGAGGCCUGCCUAGCCACCGACAGGGCUGGGUGUCGUGAGGCUCACCCACCUACCGGCUAGGCACGGCCUCACCGGUGGCCAAGUCGGCGACUUGUGCAAGCUCACUGAUGGUUGGGUGAGACUUUGGCGAGCUCGCCAGACCUCGCCGGUGGCUGGGCGCGCUCGCUGGACCUCAUCGAUGGCUGGGCGCACUCGCCGGACCAGUUGCCGGUGAUUGGCGGUAGCGACCGGCGACAGCAGGCGACGGUGGGCGGCGGUCGCAAGAUGGCGGUCGAUGAAGAAGAAGAAGAUUUUUGAUUUUCAAUUUGUUCCUGGAACAAGAAUCAACUUUUUUUUUUUUUAUUCUUGAUUCUCCUCCAAAUCUGUUCCUAGGAACAAAAAUUUUACCAAAUGCAAUUCUGUUCCAAAACUACUCCCAGGAACAAAAAAUCAGAAUCUAGCACUGUUGGGAUGGUUACCAAACAGGCUCUUAACUUCUGAUUUUGCUCCAAAUCUAUUUAUAGAAUAGAAAUUUGUUUAAAAAAAAUGAUAUUGCGUUACUAAAUGAAUUUUUGUUCAAACAUGUUAUGAGGAUCACAAAAAUAAAAAUAAACAUAAACAUAAAUUUUGUCAUGGACAUCUUUAAAGGGCAAUCUAACUGGGCAAUAAGUCCAACUAGCGAGAGCAGCUAUGCUUGUAAAAUAGUAUAUAAUGUAUAGUUUCUUUUAAAAUUAAUUUUAAAAUUCGACGGAAAACCCAGUAAUUAAUUAAUUAAUUGUAAUUUGCACUGCAAAGCAUAGCUUGAGUGGUCACUUUUCUUCAUGUCCCAUAUAAAACUCGACCUCUCUUACGACUUGGUGUUGAGAAGACUUUUUUAGAUAUGCUAAUUGUCAUGUCUUGCACAUAAUGGAUGACGACUGGAAAAAUGGGAAGUCAAGAUUUUCAAAUUAUGAUAGGGGUAAUCUAUUCUUAACUUUUCAUCACCAAUAUAAAAAGAUUACUAGAAGCUCGCUAGACUAGAUCUUUGCUAGAAAUGCAUAUCCUCUUAGAUUGCGAAUGAAAAUUAUUUUAUUUCUUUUUAUUUCUUUUUUUUUUCUGUUAUUUAGAAUAGGUUUGGAAUAGAAAUUCGUUUGAUAAUGCAAUUUCAUUUUUCUAUUUUCAAAACAAAUUUUUAGCUAAGAAAUAGAUUUUGAAUAAAAAUGAGAAAAGUAGAAAUUUUCUACUUUUCUAUUUUUGGAACAGAAAUAGAAAUAAAAACUCUUUUCAUUACUUGUCAUUACCAUCCUCUGCUAGCAAAUGGUCGUCGCCCUCCACCCAUUGCCCACCCGCCACCCGCCAGCCACCAAUCACCACCCUUCACCAACCACUCCAACCACUGCUAAGAAAUUUUAAGGCUAUCAAACGAAUUUCUAUUUUAGGAAUAUAAAUUCUGUCACAUUAUCAAACGUAUAUCUUUGUUCAAAAACUCACCUAAGAUAUAGAAAAAGAAAAAAAAAAUAUUUUUGAUAAGAUAUUAUUCUUAAGAACGGAAUGAUUAUUGUUUACGCCUUUAUUAAACUUGAAUUUAACCGUGAACAAGUCAUAACACAGUCAAAUCCAAAUGGGUUUCAUAGGUAGAAAGACAAAAAAGUUGAAAGGUUAACGUCCCCAAGACAUGUCGGUGGGCGCUUAGGCAAAAUUUUGAAAAACAAAACCGAGGCAAUUUUCGCUGAGCAAACCACAAAUGCAGUUGAUUACUUCGUCUCAAUUGCUCUCAGCUCACUUGUGACAUGGCCUUUGGACGAUGACCACAUAUGUCUCACGUAAGGGUGAGCAUCGAUCUAAGGUCAACCCUGGACCAACCUUGGAUCGGCCCAACUCUACCGGUCCUAGUCCAGUUCCUAGGAAGAUCAAGUCGAUCAUUGGUCCUGGGAUUCCUAGACCAAUACUGUACGGGUUGAUCCUCGAUUCUGAAAGUUUAGAUAUAUAUAUCUAAUAUAUUAUUUAUAAUUUUUUAUAUAGAGAAAAUCCUAAAAUAAACGGCGCCAACAGCAUUAAAUAGCUCCUUAGUAUGGAGUUGAAUAAUUUUACACUAUUUUUUAAUAACUUAGAUCUUUUAAUGUCUUUUACGGCGUCAAAAGUCAUAAUUUACAAAGAAGAAAUAUGUUUUUAUGAGGAGUCCUCAGGGUGUUCAAAAGAGCAUAAAUAACUCCUCACGGCAUCCUCAUCUAAUACUCGUUUUCUUCUAUCCUAUUUGUUAUCUUAGUCUUUAAUUUGCCAAAAUCAAAAGAAAUAACUUUUAUGCUCGCCACUUAACACUAGCCUCUCACUUGCUUUGGGUCACUCCUGCCGCUCGCCGCUCAAUGCUUGCCUAGCUUGUUGCUCCCUGCUCGAUGCUCGAUGCUCACCCCACUCGAUACUCGUCACUCGCCUCUCUUAGCUAACCUCGCUUGUCAUUGAACCUAUAAGGUCAGUCCAGUUCUCACUCACUUUUUCAAGGAAUACAAAAAUGAAACAAAAAAUUAUUAAUUGAUCCUGAGUUGAUUAUAGAAUUGGACCAAACCCAUUAGGUCGAUCUGGUCCUUGAUUGCCUUUUUAGAUAGUACAAAAAAUGAAAUAAAUAAAUUAUCGGUUGAUCCCGAGUUAAUCUUGGAACUGGACCGAACCCACUGGGUUGGUUUGAUUCUUGGUCCCAAGCUCAAUAGGAUCGGUCCUCGGUCCUCGAUUCAAAAAAUUGAUAACCAGUACUAUGUGGGUUGGUCCUAGAGUAAGGGGGUGGGCCAACCCAAUCCAAACCAUGCUCACCCCUCUUCACGUUCCACGUUCCGACCCAUGGACAGUGCCCUUUUUAUUAUUUUCCUUUGUUUUCUUGCUUUUUUUUCUUUUUCUUUUUUUUUUACUUCCUUUUUGACAAAUCCUUUAUAGAGGAUCAAAAUCCAAUUUGUCAUCAGCGUAAUCUAGAGGAGAGUUUCCCAUGUCAAAAGGUGGAAACCACAUUUUCUUGAAAACGUCGUCCGCCCUUCUUCUCCCUUCCCAUCACCAUCUUCAUCGUACACCACUGAAAAUUAGUCCACGAAAUGCAUAAGAAAUAGCAUCGCGAAGAUUUCGUAGAGGUAAAAUCGACAUUAGAAUCAGAAAAAGGAGCCAAAUGCUAAUGUUCCCACAAAUAUGAGAGCUCGCCAUUAGGGAUGGGCAUUGGGGCGAGUCCAAUCCCUAGCCGGCUAACUAGGAACCUGGGCCAUCCCUGUCCUGUUCCCCACGCGGGGCAGGGUGGUCGCCGGCAGUUCUUUGAAAGGGCGGCAGAGAGUAAGAUGGAGAGAGAGAGAGAGUGUAUUAACACAAUACCAACAAUUUUGCUUUAAUUCCCACUAGUAUCCGUGUAUUAAAUCAGAGCGGGAGGUACACUCAAGUCAACGCUCAGCGAGCCAAACCGACAUUGUCCUUAACAUUGUUCGUAGCGAGCCAAAUCGACGAGAACUGACGCUCAGAGCUUAAUGGAUAAUUAGGAUACGUUUGGUAACGUUUUUUGUUUAAAAAUUGUUCCAAUGAACAAAAAUAGAAAAAACCAUUUCUCUUCCGGGGAAUAAUUUUUUAACAAAAGAACGUGUUUGAUAAAUUUGUUCCUGGAAUAGAAAAAGAACAUGAACACGUUUGGUAAACUUGUAUGAUUUUUUUGUUUCCUUUAAUUUUUUAAUAUUUUUAUUUUAUUUUUAUUUUUUUCUUUUCCUUUUUUUCUUUUUUUUUUCCCUUCCUUUUGGUCGGUCGCCGGCCUCAACCAUGGCCGACGACUGGCCGACAAGGGCCGGUGGCCUUGCCCAGCCAUGGCGAGGAUCGCCAGCCCUCGGCGAGGCCGAGCCUUGCUAUGGCUAGGCGAGGCUCGGCCUCACCUUGACUGGGCGAGCUCGAGCUUGCCCAGAUUCAGGGAGGCCGAGCUCACCCAGCCACUAGCGAGGCUCAGCCUCGCUCGGCCAUUGCCAGGUGAUGCCUACCUGGCUGUGGCCCGGCGACGUUGGGUGAGCUCGCCUAGAUUCGGUGAGGCCGAGCCUCACCAGCCGCGCGAGGUCGGCCUCGCCUUGGCUAGGCAAGCUCGAGCUCGCCCAGAUUCGGUGAGGCCAAGCUUCGCCAGUGGUUAGGCGAGCUUGAGGUCGCCGGCCCUCACUAGCUCUUGACAGGCGGUCGCCAACCAUGGUCGAUGGCGGCGACCGGUCCACUGAAUAAGAAGAGGAAGAGAAAGAGGNNNNNNNNNNNNNNNNNNNNNNNNNNNNNNNNNNNNNNNNNNNNNNNNNNNNNNNNNNNNNNNNNNNNNNNNNNNNNNNNNNNNNNNNNNNNNNNNNNNNNNNNNNNNNNNNNNNNNNNNNNNNNNNNNNNNNNNNNNNNNNNNNNNNNNNNNNNNNNNNNNNNNNNNNNNNNNNNNNNNNNNNNNNNNNNNNNNNNNNNNNNNNNNNNNNNNNNNNNNNNNNNNNNNNNNNNNNNNNNNNNNNNNNNNNNNNNNNNNNNNNNNNNNNNNNNNNNNNNNNNNNNNNNNNNNNNNNNNNNNNNNNNNNNNNNNNNNNNNNNNNNNNNNNNNNNNNNNNNNNNNNNNNNNNNNNNNNNNNNNNNNNNNNNNNNNNNNNNNNNNNNNNNNNNNNNNNNNNNNNNNNNNNNNNNNNNNNNNNNNNNNNNNNNNNNNNNNNNNNNNNNNNNNNNNNNNNNNNNNNNNNNNNNNNNNNNNNNNNNNNNNNNNNNNNNNNNNNNNNNNNNNNNNNNNNNNNNNNNNNNNNNNNNNNNNNNNNNNNNNNNNNNNNNNNNNNNNNNNNNNNNNNNNNNNNNNNNNNNNNNNNNNNNNNNNNNNNNNNNNNNNNNNNNNNNNNNNNNNNNNNNNNNNNNNNNNNNNNNNNNNNNNNNNNNNNNNNNNNNNNNNNNNNNNNNNNNNNNNNNNNNNNNNNNNNNNNNNNNNNNNNNNNNNNNNNNNNNNNNNNNNNNNNNNNNNNNNNNNNNNNNNNNNNNNNNNNNNNNNNNNNNNNNNNNNNNNNNNNNNNNNNNNNNNNNNNNNNNNNNNNNNNNNNNNNNNNNNNNNNNNNNNNNNNNNNNNNNNNNNNNNNNNNNNNNNNNNNNNNNNNNNNNNNNNNNNNNNNNNNNNNNNNNNNNNNNNNNNNNNNNNNNNNNNNNNNNNNNNNNNNNNNNNNNNNNNNNNNNNNNNNNNNNNNNNNNNNNNNNNNNNNNNNNNNNNNNNNNNNNNNNNNNNNNNNNNNNNNNNNNNNNNNNNNNNNNNNNNNNNNNNNNNNNNNNNNNNNNNNNNNNNNNNNNNNNNNNNNNNNNNNNNNNNNNNNNNNNNNNNNNNNNNNNNNNNNNNNNNNNNNNNNNNNNNNNNNNNNNNNNNNNNNNNNNNNNNNNNNNNNNNNNNNNNNNNNNNNNNNNNNNNNNNNNNNNNNNNNNNNNNNNNNNNNNNNNNNNNNNNNNNNNNNNNNNNNNNNNNNNNNNNNNNNNNNNNNNNNNNNNNNNNNNNNNNNNNNNNNNNNNNNNNNNNNNNNNNNNNNNNNNNNNNNNNNNNNNNNNNNNNNNNNNNNNNNNNNNNNNNNNNNNNNNNNNNNNNNNNNNNNNNNNNNNNNNNNNNNNNNNNNNNNNNNNNNNNNNNNNNNNNNNNNNNNNNNNNNNNNNNNNNNNNNNNNNNNNNNNNNNNNNNNNNNNNNNNNNNNNNNNNNNNNNNNNNNNNNNNNNNNNNNNNNNNNNNNNNNNNNNNNNNNNNNNNNNNNNNNNNNNNNNNNNNNNNNNNNNNNNNNNNNNNNNNNNNNNNNNNNNNNNNNNNNNNNNNNNNNNNNNNNNNNNNNNNNNNNNNNNNNNNNNNNNNNNNNNNNNNNNNNNNNNNNNNNNNNNNNNNNNNNNNNNNNNNNNNNNNNNNNNNNNNNNNNNNNNNNNNNNNNNNNNNNNNNNNNNNNNNNNNNNAAAAAAGAGAUAUAAAGAUAAAAAAAAGAAAAUAUAGAAAAAAAUAAGAAAGAAAAAAAAUAGAACGUGAUUAAGGAAAUAUGAAGAUAGAGGAACAUUGGUAAUAAAAACAAGCAGAUAGACAACCAAGUCGGAGGCAGACAGCCGACCAAAGAAAAAGAAAGAAGAAAAGAAAGAGAAGAAAAAAAAUAGGAGAGAGAAAAUUUGUUUAUCAGAAGUGUUCCAAGAACAAGAAACAAAGUUUUUUUAGUUUCUAGUUUUUGUUCCAAAAUUUGUUCCCGGGAGCAAAAAAUAGAUUUGGAACAAAAACGCAAACAAACACGUUUCUAUUCAUUUUUUAACUAGAGGGCCGUUUGAGGAACUAAAGAAUCGACCAAUCAGGAUGAGUUCGAAGAGAAUAGCCUGGUUGUCUUCGACGAACUCAAGCGAUGCAGGCUUGAGGUCGUCCUCAAUGGUGCUAUAGUCGGACUUGGUGGACUCGACGGGCUUCUUGCAAUACUUGAUUGACAUUGAAGUACGAUUGCAAUCAGGGUUUUGCGAUCGCAAUCUGAGGAACCACUGUCACCACCAGGAAUGCACACCAAUAGGAGAGACAAGGACACAUUGUGGUCGACAAGGAAGAUCACCCUUGGGAGCUUCAGCAGUGAUCCAUUCGAGGUCAACGAGGCUGUGGCCGAUGAGUCACAGACGAUCAAGCACAUAUGCUCCCCCUCUUUAUUCACAAUUGUGGCUGAUGUUUUAUCCCAUAGUCUCUCCAAUGUUCUAUAAGAGGGAUGCCUUUAGGGAAUUAAGCUAAAAAGGAGGAUCCUAAACCCCCCUUCUCCUCACAUAUGACUCCCUAUUCUUUCUUGUUGCUAACCCAGUUUGAACUGCAGACGUUCAAAAAAGAUUCUUGACCAUAUGGUACUGCUCAAGCCAGAGGGUCGUGUUGCAAAAAUCCUGUAUAUGCUUCAGUCCUAACACUGGGGCAAAGUUGAGAACAAAGGUAAGCACAGUCCAGGGAAUCAAUGCUACUCAAGACCCUGGUAACCAUUUGGGUCUACCUAUUCUAUGGGGUAGCUCUAAACAUAAAGCUCUUGACAUUGUUAAGGAUAGUCUUUGAAAAGAAUGCCAAGCUGGAAAACUAAAUUAUUGUCACAAGCUGGUUGGGAGAUUGAGGUAAAACCAGUGGCUUAUGCAGUACCAACUUAUUUUGUUGUCGUGUUUCAAGUUUCCAAAGAUGUGGCAUGAGGACGUUUAUGCAGCUAUAGCCGAUUAUUGGAGGGGUCCGCAGAAUAAUGAAGGGAAAGUGCAUUGGAAGAGUAGGGAAAGCUUAACUGAAGCAAAGUUAGAAUGAGGCUUGGGUUUUAGUAGUUUAUCACAGUUCAACAUAACCCUCCUUGCUGAGCUUGCUUGGAGAAUCCAAAGCAACCCCUCAGAAUUCUGGGUGCAAAUAUUUCAAGGGCUCUACUUUCCCCUUUGUAGCUUCGUGGAAGUUAGAAGAGGUGGCAGAACGUCUUAGGGACGAAGUAGAGUUUUGGAGGGAGAGGUCUAAUUAAGGAAGGUGGGUUAUGAUAAAUUGCUGAUGGGAAGUCGGUCAAAGUUUGGGAGGAUAGGUUGGUGAAGGAGAGUUGAGACCUGAUGUUGCAUCCUCUAAUCUGACCCAGGUGAAAAAGUAAUUAAGACUGGAGUCUCUAAUUGGUGCAGAUACUAGGAUUUGGAACUUGACUCUCCUUAAGGACAGCAUACGGUAGGAGGAGCAAUGAUCGGUGUUGAGAAAUCACAUAAGGUGGAGAAGUUCUGAUGACCAACGAUUUGGCCCCGGAACGGGAGUGGUGGCUCUAUAGUAAAGUCUCUACCACUUUACCAUGCAAAAUAGAAAGAAACAUCUAAGCCUAGACCCUCAAGCUCUCCUACUAUUGAUGGUAUAGUUUGGAAAUUAGUAACAGGCAUUGACUCUCCUCCCAUGAUAGGAGACUUCCAUUGGCAACUUUGCUCGAAUGUUAUGCCUGCUGCUGCUAAUCUGUGCAAACAAAAAGAAUAAAGUUUCUCCUGCUUGUAUGUUCUGUUUUGAGAUUAUAUCUAUAGAGCAUUUAAUACUCAAUUGCUUUAAUUUGAAAAUCCAAAAAACGAAGUGAUUCAUAUAGGUAUUUUUAAAUGAAAAGUCAACGCAACUCAUUUCAAAUACAAAAUGGUGUUUCUAUACAAAGUUGUCUCCAAGUAAAAUUUAGAAGAAGAGAAAUAUUUCUCAAAGAAGAGUGGAUGGUAAGCGAGAUGGAAACUUUCCUGAUUUUCACCUUGAAGAGUGAUAAUCCGAUCAUUGACACCUCUCCUUUAUGGAUUGGCUUGUUUUCUAAUUUGAAGGUGCUCAUUUUCAAUGCCAGUAGAUUUCAUGGAGCCAUGAAAGAGCCCGAAGCUCAUUGCCAAUUUCCUACAUAUCUUCAGUAGGUCAUAUAGUAACUCUCAAUAUUCAUAGCAAUUUCUCUAGACUUUUCUAUACAAGUCAACUUACCUUUAUCAACUUAGUGGUGAGAAUACACAAGAUUUUAUGUCUUGGACAUAUUGCAUCCGUUGUGAGUGUUAGAUAGGCUAUGGUAUUAUUGAAUUGAUUUGUGCCAUUUGAUACACAAGUUUUCACUUGAGGUCUUCUCAUUCAUUUAAGAAAAUAUGACAUCAAAUUCGAUAAAUUUUGACCCCUCAAACAAAAAAAUUGAUCUUGCACGGUAUUGCUUUUGCAAUUCUUCACAUUUAAAUAUUAAAGACAUUUAAAUUUUGGGUAUAAAGUAUUCGCAUCAAACAAAGCAUAGAUCAACAUUUCUUUAAGAUUGGCUUGAUGGAUAGUCUAAUAUGCGAAAUAUGAGUCCCAACUCCCUUGAGGUUCCAAAAUCAAGCCUGCGCGAGCCUAGCCCUAAGCUAAUCAAACUCGGCCUAAAUGGAAAGGCAACGCGGUCAUUCAAGGACAACAAGGGAAAUUCAAAUCGGCCAACACCCAUCGUCGAGGGAGGGGCAUGUAAAGGUCACUAGUUUGGGAACUUUAUAAGAGUAGCUGUUGUCAAGAGCCACCCUCUUCAAAGGAAACUCAUUUUGUGAGGAAUACUCGCACAUUUGAUGGACAAGGAUCAAUUGGCAGCUGAUUGUUGUUUCCAAAAUACUUGACCAGAAUUCCCUGAACAAUUUAGUAACUGCGUGAUACUGUUUAUCCUGACAUUUCUUCAUAAUAUUCAACCACCAAAUCCAAGUACCUAACAAUACUGCGGAAGAGGAAGACCAAGUUUUCUCAUUUUCACACCUACAACAACCAAAGAUAGUUACAAUUAAUUUUUCUUGCACCAGAUCAAAAUGCAAGCUUCGAAUUCCCCUCUUUUAAAUUUAGAUUGCCAAUGUUAAUUAUAUUCCAAGCGACAAACCUUCCACGUAUUGGGAUUACAUGUAUCGCACAUUCGCAUGUUCACAUUCAUGGAUAAUGACCGGUAUCUACUCAUUCAUUUCAAUUUAAAGCAAAAAAAAAAAAAACUAUAACUACAAAACAAUAGCAUAACCGCAUAUUUUACUAGAUCAACAAUAAUUAUUUAGAGUCAAUAAACAAAUCGAAUAGUUUGAUGUAUAUCGAAUAUUUACAUGGUGUUGUCAACAUUUAGAUUUCUUUAAACACCUUUAAGAAGCUAUACAAACCCAUACUGAGUCUCACUGUAAAACACAAGUUAUAGUAUAAUAAUUACAUUGAGAUUGAUUUUCUCUAUCACAUAAAUGGAUUUUAUACAAUAUUAAUCCAAAAAUUCGCAAUGCAGCGAAGCAAAGCAAAGAUGAUGGAAGACCGACUUGCUUUCCCUCGCCAGUCUUUUCCUUUUGACUUUUUCAUUUGAGUAGCUUUUGUCGGUCUUUGCCUUGUCUCUGUCUUUGGUUGGGAGAAAAGAAUGGGAAAAUGCAAGGAAGCAAGCAAAGGUGAUAGAAGACUUUGACUUGCUUUCCCUCACCUCACGCCGGGAAGUAGAUUGCCUAACAACCAUGACUUGAGAGGUGCGUGCGUCCCAAGUAAUUAAUUUAAAUAUGAGUAUUCAUCGCCUCCUCUCCUGACCUAUGCGAUAAGUAACUUUGAAUUAGAAAAGGUAAUUUUCUGCCUGUCUAUGGUUAGUAAAUCUCAAUGUUGAUAGUCAUAGUUCAUUCAACAAAGUAAGUUUAUAUACCAACUUUUAACAUAGAAAAAGGUAACACAAUUUCAUAUGGUUAGUAACUCAUUAAUCUGACUUGUAAUAUAUAUACAUAAUUAGUUUUUCUUAUAUACAUUGAUGUAACUUUCCCCACAUCUGUGUGUCAGUAACUUUUCACAAGAUUGCAGUGAAAUUUUUGGAGAUGCAAGUGACAUCCAGGCUAGAGUUGAUGACUUUGCACUAAAUUUUGUUUUAAUCCAUUCGUGAUAAAAGCAUCAAUAAUACUAAGAUCAUUAAUUUACUACUCUCCAUCCAAUCAUUUUAGUAUAUCUACAUCCAAGCAAACGGAAAUCUAUUUUCCACCUUUUAAAUGGAAACAAGUAAAGUUAUUAUCGAGAUUUAUAUUUACUGAAAUCGCUGGUCCUUGAACUUUUAUUUGAAUGUGUCCAUGUCAUAUCUAAUCAAACAAUCGAUUCAAUUACAUCCUAAAAUAUUUGUCUAAUGUGCGCCUUGAUCUUAUCUCUUAAUUGAUUCUUUUCCUGACCUUUUUAAAAAUAUUCAAUAUCGUCUCAUUUUAGUAAUUAGAAGGACAAAUCCGUACAAUGUCCCCUUCUAGUCUUUUGCUCGUCAAGAACAAAUGGUUUGUUCUUUACUUUCUACAAGCUUUAGCUACUAAUGUUGAGCCGGUUCCUAACACUUCCAACAUGUGAGAAAUGGUAGUUAGACAUUAUUUAGUAGGAUACAUUUUCAGUUCCGAGGAUGAAGUUUUGGAAAGCUACCGAGAGGAACAAUAUAUUAGCCCAUACACUUCUAUGCUUUCAUCCGACUUAUCUUCUGUAUAAAAAAGCAAUAAAGUAAUUAUACAAAAAUAGUAUAAUUAGUAACUCAUUUUAUAUAUAAAAAAAAAAAUGCAUCUACCUAUUGGUAACUAGUAAUUUUUCUAUGCAAUAAAUAAUUAUGGAAUAAAAAAAAAGUAAUUUUCUGCCGAUUGUUAGUAAGUCGUACUGUUCAAAGUAAUUUCUCUAGACUUUCCUAUACACAUCAACUUAUGUUCAUUAUCUUAUUGGACUACAUAAGAUUUUCUAUAGUGGACACUUUACAUUUGGUGUGAGUGUUAUGCCACUGUUAAACUAGAUUGUACCAAUAUUUUUUUUUUUGGUCAGAAGAUUGUACCAAUUGACACCUAAAUUUUUGUUAGAAGACUUCCAUUCUUUUAAUAAGAAAAUUGGAGAUUGAAUUCGACAGAGUUUGACCCCUAAACAAAAAUGUUGAUCUUGCCUGGUCAUGCAUUCAUAAUUCUCACUUCGUUCUUCGCAUUUAGAUAUCAGGGACAUUUAAAUUUUGGGCAUGAAGUAUUCACAUCGAGCAAAGCAUGAUUCAAUCUGUGAGUUUUCUUGGGAGUGGCCCAAUAGAUGGCUCCAUAUGCAAAAGUAAUUACUGAACUCACUCGAGGUGCCAAAAUUAAGUCCGCUUGAGUCCAGUAACUCCAGCCCCUAAGCUGUAAUCGAACUUGGCUGAAUGGAGGGAAAGGAAGCGCGGCCAUUCAAGGGCAGCUAGUGAAAUUACAAUUGGCCAAUACAAUUUUCGAGGCCAAUUCCAGUCUGAACAUAUAAGAUGGAAGGUCUUGUUCAGUUGCUGCAUGCGUCCAAAUGGAAGAAAAGGCAAAGGAGAAUCAAAAGAAGGAAAGGGGCGUGUAGUUUCCAUCUUGACGAUGGGAGCAAUCUCGGCAUUCACAGACCUGAAUUCACAGCCAAAAAAAAAAAACCAAGAAAAUCUUGGCAUAGGAAAGCAGAGGAUUCUCGGCCAAGUGGUGCAGCGAUUUUCAGCAUUUGAUCAUUUCCAAAGAUAGCUUGAAAAGGAAAAGGGUGGUGCUUUUUCUGCACGGCCAAGAAAGAGAAACACGAAGAGAGGGUUUCGGUCAACAGAAGAGAGAAUACUAAAAGGAAAGAAAGAACAAAGAAGUGGUCGGCAAAAGAAAAGAAAUAUAAGAACAGAGAGCAAAAGGUUUCCCGUUUAAUUUCCUCGAAAUUCACUUUUCCUCUGCACUUCAAUAUCCAAGAAUUUUACUCCUUACAGUCAAAUUUCUCCAUCAUUUCAUUUUAAAGCCCGGCGCACCUUGCACUUGGAAAAAGCCAAAAAUGAAAUCAUUUUAGCACUGUUUUGAAGUUGAUCAAUUCUUGUUCAAGUUAGAACUGUAGUGUGAUAACAUAUUUUAUCUAAAGAAGGGGCCUGUAAAGGUGACCGAUUUGGGAACUUUUUAAGAGUCAUUGUUGUCAAGAGCCACCCUCUUUAAAGGAAACUCAUUUUAUGAAGAAUACUUAGCACAUUUGAUGGACAGGGAUUACUUAGCAUCUAACUGUCGUUUCCAAAAUACUUUAUCAGAGUUUCCUGAACAAUUUCGUGACUGCGUGAUAUUGUUUAUCCAGACUCUUCUUCAUAACAUUCAACCAUCAAAUUCGUUAAAAACAACUGAUUGUUCUUUCCUAUUUCCAAGUUUUAGGUACUCUUGUUGAUAUAGUUCCCGACACUUCUAACAUAUGAGAGAAAUGGUUGUUAUAUAUAAUUUUGUAGGUCACAUUUUCAGUUCCAAGGAUCCAGCUUUGGACAGUUAUCUAGAGGAACAUUAUAUUGGUCCAUACUCUACUAUGCUUUCAUGCAUUUUAAUUUUUGGUAUAAAAAAGCAAUAAAAUAAUUAUACAAAAUUAGUAUGAUUAGUAACUCCUUUUACACUGAAAAAGCAUCUAUCUAUCAGUAACAAAUAAUUUUUCCAUCCGCGAAAUUAUGAUAAAAUAAGAAAAAAUAAUUUUCUGCCUAUCUAUUGUUAAUAAUUCUCAAUGUUCAUAGUAAUUUCCCUAGACCGAGCUCGUGCUAGCCCGGUCCCAAGCAAUUCAAACUCGGCCUAAUGAAGGGAAAGGAAGCGCGGCCAUUCAAGAACAGGGACGAAAGUCCAAAUCAGCCCUCACUAGGGGUGAGCAUGGUCCGGGUUGGUCCGGGCCACCCCCUAACCCUAGGACCAACCCGUACAGUGUCGGUCCUCAAUUUUUAGGACCAAGGACCGACCCUAUUGAGCCUGGGACCAAGGACCGGACCGACCCAAUGGGUUCGGUCCGGUUCCAGGGUCAAUCCGGGACCGAUCGAUAAUUUUUUUCGUCUUAUUUUUUAUACUUCCUAAAAAAGCAAACCUAAAAAUUCAAAUUACGCAUCCAUGAUCCAUCAACAAUACGAUAUUGUGCAACUAAAUUAUAAAAUACCAAUACAUAUUUAGCAAAUUUAAGAUGACACAAUAAUAGAAAUUUCAUAUCCGCUAACCGCUCAUCGAGAUAUGGGACAAGAUGGAAAGUUCUUGUAAUCAUCUAUCUUUAAUAUUUAUAACACCAUAUGCAAAAGCGUUUUCCUGAUCAUGUAGAGUUUACUCAACCAAAAAAUGAGCUUUGCACCACUUGACUAGCAUUUGAUCAUGUAGAGUUUACUCAACCAAAAAAUGAGCUUCACACCACUUGACUAACAAAUCACCGUAGCAACUGCAGUACUACUCUACUCUUCAAAAACUUCUACCAUUUAACACAAAUUGAAAAGCAAUUAAAUCAUAAAAUUUUUAAAAUACUUAAUAUAAACCAUGAAUAUAUAACUUCACAUCUUGUUAAUUCACUUGAACUUCUAAACACUUGAAAACAAAACAAACGACACAUAAUUAAUACUUAACAAAAGUUUUAAAUUGAAAUUACUAUUAGUGCUAUUGAUAGAACAUCUCAAUAUAAUAUAAUAUAAUAGACAUUUUACUUAGGUUUGAAUAUAUAAAAGAAUUAUAAAUAAUAUAAUAUAAUAUACAGGGUUGGUCCAGGGUUGGACCGACCAAAAACUCUUAGGACCGAGGACUAACCCGCACAGUGUUGGUCCUGGAAUUUCAGGACCAAGGACCGACCCAGUCCCCUUGGGAACCGGACCAGGACCGGCAGGGUUGGGCCGGUCCAGGGUCGGUCCAGGGUCGACCCUAAACCGCUGCUCACCCCUAGCCCUCACCCAUUCUCAAAGCCAAUUCCAAUCUGAACACAUAAGAUGGAAGGUCUUGUUCAGCUGCACACGUCGAAAUUGGAAAGGAGAAUCAAAGACGGAAGGGAGCGUGCAGUUUCCCUUUCGACGAAAGGAGCAAUCUCGGCAAUUAGGGACCGGAAUUCACGGCCAAAAGAAGAGGAUUCUCGGCCAAGUGGGGAGGGAGAUUUUUCAGCAAUUAAUAAUUGUCAAAGAGAGCUCGAAAAAGAAAAGGGUGGAGCUUUUCUUCGUGGCCAAGAAAGAGAAAUACAGAGAGAGGAAAACUUUAAUAAAAAGAAGAGAAAAACAGGGAAGUGGUCAGCAAGCGAGAGGACUAAAAAGAAGAGGAAAACAGGGAAGUGGUCGGCAAAAGAAAACAGAGAUUUUGAAAAACAGAGGACGCAGAUUCUUGUGGAGGAUAUGCAAGCAAGAUUGAAAAGACGGAGAGAGAGAGAGGGCUGUCGGGGCACGCGUGAGGAAGUGACAGAGAGCAAAUGGUGCAAUUUCACCAUAAGUCAGUUUAAUUUACUUUCGAGGCAUCUAAAUUUCCUAAAAGUUACACUUUUUCUUUGCACUUUAAUUUCCAAGAAUUUUACUCCUCAUAGUUAAAUUUCUCCACCAUUUCAUCUCAAAGCCUAGAGCACCUUUCACUUGGAAAAAGCCAAAAAUGAAAUCAUGUUUAGCAUUGUUUUGAAAUUGAAUAAUUAUUGCAAAGUGCAUUUGCCAUCAUCUAAAGAAAUACUUUUGUUAAGGGAAUUUUUCCCGAAUAAAAAUAUACAAUUUUCCUCUAUUCUGACUAAAGGGCGGGUAAGAGUGUUCAGCUCUAAAGACCUUCACUGUAUCUUAUCAUAAAAGGUUCCCACAUCCCUAUAAAGUAUGCGGAUUGAACUGUAAUUGUUUCAGAGUUUUUCAACUUAGCUUCACCGAGAGAGAGAUGUUAUGGUGGAGAAGAGAAAAAAAUUUCAAAUAAUAGUUGCAUCACGAGAUAGUAAAAUGUAGUAUAAUAAACUUAUUAAUAUUGAGUAUUUUCAAUUUUCAAGCGCCAAAUUAAAAGAACAUGUAUAUUGCAUUCGGGCCAAUUACUUCACAUAUGACUGACACAUAAAAUACAUUUCCUUAGUAAAAGGGUAAUUUGGUCUUUUAAUUGAGGAUUUUUCUCUAAAGAUGUACAUUCUACAUAUAUCAAAAGCUGAGGAGCGUACAUGAUAUGGGAGUACUUUUGAAAUUUUCUUUAAUAUGAUCAAAGUAAAUAAAAACUCAAAAACCAUCUUUAUGCUCUAUCUUGGUUUCACUUUAUAUCCUCCAUCUCUAAAGUCAUGAAUCUAUGAAUUUGUUCUGUCACUUUCGUUAGUUGUCAGGUUUCAGAUUUUAAAUUCGUCAUUAAAUGAAUGGGACCCGGAAGUUUCGAGGAUGCCAACCCAUUGAUUGAUUCAUGGAAACUUUUAGGAAACUUCUCGGAUACUUCUCGAAUGACUCAAGUUGUUGACUAUUUUUGACUCGAGAAAAAAUUUGAAGUCAAGUCCCUUUUCCCCACGCCAGAGACUGAUAGAGCUUGUAAUACCGACAACCCUCGCUUAGAUCCAAGCACACCCAAAGCAAACUACACUGAGAGGAAGAAAGCAUUUGAUAUCGCUCAGAUCCAAGCACACCCAAAGCAAACUUCACUAAGAGGAAGAAAGCAUUUGAUAUCCGUGGCAUUUAGAGAUCCUACAAUGGAGAAAGGGACGAGUUCACAGGUGUCAUCUAGAUCUUCAUAUGAGGUUUUUCUAAGUUUUCGAGGAUUAGAUACCCGUCAUACAUUCACCGAUUUUCUUUAUCGUGACAUGGAUGAAGCUGGAAUCUGCGUCUUUAGGGACAAUGAAUCCCUCCAUGUCGGUGAAAAAAUUGGUAAGCUUUUACAUGCAAUUGAGAACUCUAAGAUCUACAUUCCCAUAUUCUCCACAAAUUAUGCUUCGAGUGACUGGUGUCUUCGAGAGCUUGCACAUAUGGUCAAAUGCACCUCAAAAUUGAAUGGGAACAAAGAGAUUCUACCCAUUUUCUUGGAUGUGGAACCUUCUGAUGUCAAGUUGAAAACAAAAUUGUAUCGACAAGCUCUUUCAAAGCGCCAAAAGACGUGCAGUGAAGUAGAGUCAUGGGAAAAGGCUCUCAUUGAGGUGGGCAAGAUAAUCGGAUGGAACUGGAAGAAAGAUGAAAGGUGAAUGUCUACAAUUUUUUAAACUAUCAUAUGUGGAUUUCCUUUUCCUCCAUAUUGAGUUUAAUUGCAGUAUUGCUGGUGAAAAAAUAGUUUAUUCAACUUUAGUAUCUCAUUCUUUUCAUUUUUUCUCCCAAUUUCUAAAUUUCUUUUCUUUUUCAUGAUAAUUAAGGAUAAAAGAGAUUUUUUUUUCAAAUAUUGAGACAGAAUUAUAUCACGUAAAAAUCACAUGCCUUGCACAUGCCGACGACAAAAUUGAUACACAGUUAAUGGUCGUGUAACAAACUGAAAGUGCAGGAAAUAUUGCGAAACAGUUGAAGGUUCGGCUGUGUACUACCCGAAAUUUAAGAUGAUUUUGUGUAUUACCUCUGCUUUCUUUCAACCUCAUUUAUAUGGCAUUUGCAUUUUUUUUUAUCCUGGAUUUCAUAAGCAUUUAAGAAAAAUAUAGGAGUAUACAACCGUAUGGCCAUUCGGCAUUCGCGUAGCGCGAGUCUAAGGGGCCAGUUAAUUUUUAACGAAUAGAAGAAUGCAACUUCUCUUUGUUUUUUUUUUUAAACGUUUACUUAAAAGGUGAAAAGCUGUGUUCUUUCGUGAACCUAGCUGCUCUACCAAGCCGCUGGCCAGCCACCGCAGCAGCUCUCCCUCAACCGUCACUUCUUCCUUGCCAGCCCGACAACAAGCCGCCAUCGAGCCAUCCGGCCCCCCACCCUUUCUUUCUCUCAUUCACUGGGAAGUCGGAUAUGGGCUCGGGAUGUCGGGCCCGAUGUCACCGAGCCCAUAUUUGGCAUUGCCGACCUUGGGUGACCUCAAAUUUGGCGCCGCCAAAGGCCGGUAAAGCAUCCUUGGCGGUUGCAAGGCCACAGGAUCCAUGUGACUUGAAGGAUUGAGGCAAGGCCGAGAUGGGCGGGUCGAUGGGGCGGGAUGGGCAACCCCGUUGGAACACAAUGGUGACGACCUGGGGAGGUGAGCGACGUCAAUGGCGGUGUGGUGGUGGCAGCGGUCGACAGUGAUGGUGACUAAAAUUGGGGGAGCGGAGACGGAUUGGAAAAAAUCCAGAUUAUUUUGCCGUCUAGAUUAUGUUGCAUAAUUUUUGCAAAUUGUAGGAGCAAUUGAGUCCUUGAGGGAGCAGUUUUGCAAUAUAAAAUAUAUCCUAACAUGGUUGUUACCUUGUUGCAGCCAAGCGGAUCUGAUAAAACUUGUGACUGAAACUGUGUUGCGUAAGCUGAAUGUCGGAAAUAAAAAGAUUGUGACUGAAAAUCUAGUUGGAGUUGAUGAUCGUGUAGAAGCUAUAAUAAAAAAGUUGGAUGUGGGAUCGGAUAGCGUACAAUUUCUUGGAAUCCAUGGAAUGGGCGGGAUUGGCAAAACAACACUUGCCAAGGUCAUCUUCAACCAACUGUCUUCUCACUUCGAAUACUGCCAUUUCCUUUCGGAUGUCCGAGAAACGUCACGAUGCGAUGUCCGAGAGAUGUCACGAUGCAAUGGUCUGGUAAAUUUGCAAAAACAGUUGCUAUCCAAGUUCCUUGAUUCUCCUUCCAUCCUCAACCAAAUUCAUGACACGGAUCAUGGGGCCAUAAUGAUUGAGAAAGUAUUUCGCAAUAAAAAAGUACUCAUUGUUCUUGACGAUGUGGAUGAGGAAAAGCAACUCAAAAGUCUAGCAAAGAAAGUUGAUUGGUUCGGUUCCGGUAGUAGGAUUAUCAUAACUACUAGGUACCAAAGUGUCCUAAGCAUUCGAGUAGAAGCAACAGGUGAAGCCCCUACACAUAUUUUGGCUCAUGAAGUAUUCGAAAUGGAAUGUGAUCAUGCUCUUAAGCUUUUCAGCAAACAUGCCUUUAGAAGAGACUCUCCUCUAGAUCAUUAUAUCCCCCUUUCCCAAAAAAUUAUCCAUACUUUGGGAAAUCUUCCUUUAGCCCUUGAGAUUAUAGGCUCAUUUCUUAGUGGUAAAUCCAUAGAAAUAUGGGGAGACACAUUGAAUAAGCUAAAAGAAGCUCCUCCUAAGGAAGUCCAAGAAACAUUGAUGAUAACUUAUGAAAGGUUAGAUGAUGCCCAAAGGCAAGUAUUUUUGGAUAUAGCUUGUUUUUUCGCUAAUAAGAAAAAAACAUACCCUCCCUACAUGUGGGAUGCUUGUGUAUACUACCCACACAAUGCCCUUGAAGUCCUCUCUCUCAUGUUCUUGAUAAAAAUCAAGGAUGACAAUACUUUCUGGAUGCAUGACCAAGUGCGGGACCUCGGAAGGGAAAUCGUUCGUAAAGAGAAUGUUGAUGAUCCGCGUGAGCGUAGCAGAGUGCAUGAUCCUGAGGUAGCGCUAAACAUUUUGAAGCGGAAAGAGGUAUGAAAGGGGAACAUCAAUUUAUUUUCUUGUGAAAUGUUGUAAAUAUUCUUGUAAAAAGAAAAAUUAAUCGCUAUUAACAAUUUGAAUUGUUUGCUUUUGACCUUCACCAUGUGGACUCCUUUGUGUUUCCAUUGUCAGGGGAGUAGGAAAAUUAAAGCACUGUCACUUGGAUUUCUCGAAGACACUUUUCUAGAGUUUGGAGAACUUAGAGGAUUUGAAGCACCGCCAAUUAGAUUUCAUGAAGACAUAAUUUUAAAGCAUGACGAAUUUGCUUAUUUAGAGAAGCUGAGGUUCUUUGAAGGAUAUCGGGCGUCCUUUGUUGGAGACUUCAAUAAUCUUCUUUCCGAUUUAAAAUGGUUUUCUUGCCGUGAUUGCUUAUCCAUGUUGGAGGCAAAAAACUUUCAUCCGACUAAUUUAGUCGUUCUUGACCUUUCAUGGAGCGACAUUUCGGAAAAAGAUAUUGAUUGGAUCAAAGUACGAUACAAACCCCACUCCUUGUAUUCAUAAAUCGUUUCUUUUCAUUUUUUUUUUUUGGUUGGUGGUUUCUCAAUAAAUAUUUUAUCAAAUUGUUUUGCAGGAAGCAAGGAAAUUAAAAGUCCUAGAUCUCACCUACUGCACUAAAUUAAGGAGAACACCCGAUUUAUCUACAUUGGUGUCUUUGGAGAUUUUGAUAUUAUCAAAUUGUAUAAUUUUGGAAAGUGUCGAUUGGAUCAAAGUAUGAUACAAGUCUCACUCCUUGUAUCCAUAAAUCAUUUCUUUUUAUAUUUUUUAUAGGUCAUUUCUCAAUAAAUAUUAUUGUUUUGCAGGCAGCAAGGAAACUAAAAGUCCUAGAUCUUAGCUACUGCCAUCGCUUAAGUAAAACACUUGAUUUAUCUACAUUGGUGUCUUUGGAGAUUUUGAGAUUAAAUCAUUGUCAACUUUUGGAAAGUAUCGAUUGGAUCGAAGUACGAUACGAGUCUCACUCCUUGUAUUCAUAAAUCAUUUCUUUUUAUAUUUUUUUGUAGGUCAUUUCUCAAUAAAUAUUUUUGUUUUGCAGGCGGCAAGGAAACUAAAAGUCUUAGAUCUCAGCAAUUGCUAUAACUUAAGGAGAUUGCCCGAUUUAUCUACGUUGGUGUCUUUGGAGAUUUUGGGAUUACGUUAUUGUUCAAAGAUAAAGAAACUUCCAGACUCAAUUGGGAAAUUACAAUCAUUAAUCAAGUUGGAUUUGUUAGGAACGAAUAUUGAUCACCUACCGGAUUCAUUCAGCAAUCUAAAGCAACUGACAACACUUAAGAUGAGGGAUAUUAAGGGAGGGUUGACAAAAUUACCUAGUGCGAUCUGGAUGGUUCAGUUACUGGCUUAUGGUACUGAGUUCAUCAGAAGUGAGCUGUACUGUUUGAAAAUGCCAGACUCAUGUAGCCAAAUAAUCGGAUUACCUACCUUGGCGAGUCUCGUCUCUAAUAUCCAUAAACUUGAGAUAGCCGCACGGGAUGGCAGACGGUUUUGGGAUACAACGUGGGGCCCCCUUGGUAAGCUGGAGAAUGUCAUUGCUUUUCUCUAUAGACUCGGUUGUACCGAAUCUUCGCCGGAAAAACGAAUAUUGGCCUCCCCAAACAUGCGGUUCUUCCUCCAGCUCCCGUCUAGUUUAAGAGAGUCAGUAUUUCGAGAACUGGCGACCUCACUUUUGCCAUAUUCAUAUUCUCUUUGUUGGUGGAUGCCGAUAUUCGUUGGUAUAUGUGAUUCGGAGUUGGAGAAACGCCAUUUGCAGGAUUGCACUCUUACGAGACGGCUCGAACUGUUUGAGUGGAAUAUGAGAGAAAAAAUGAAAGAAAUGGAAGACCGUGAUUGUAGUUCUUAAUUGUGUCAAAUGUACAAGUAUGCAGUUGUAUUCACGAUGGAGUCCAUCGCCGCCACUGCUGCAACCAAACCCUUCUUCUCCGAUCUCUCCCCUCGCCUCCGCCGCGCGACCGCCAUGUCGCAGCCGCAUUCGAUUCCCCCAAACGCCCCCGAAUCUCCGACCACAUACCCCGCGCCGCUCUCUCCUCCGUUGCCGCCCUUAUCGAAGCAGGUGGAGCUGGCCAGAGCCAUGUCCGCUUCCUCCAGAUCGGGCGCCUUCUCUCUCUCCCGGAGCCACGUGGUCUACGAGGACGAGUGGCCCCUUGCCGUCAACAAGCCCCCCGGAGUUUACUGCGAGAGCGUCCUGGCCUCGGCCCCUCGCGUCGUCCCCGGCGAUUCCGGCGAUUCGGGUAGGUUACCGAUGGGGCGAUUUGCGUCCCGUCUCGUAUCUGUGCAGAUUGAUAAUUUUGCUGCUUUUUUGUUUAGCUUCACGCUGUGGUUGAAAUUGUACUUAACCUGCCUGUUCUUGGAUUUCAAAUGCGAGUUACGCGAAAUCCAUUUGCGGGAAUGUGUAGUUGGGAAAUCCGUAGUGCGAAAUUGAAGUUCGAUUCUAUGCUUUAGUUUAGGAAAAGGAAAUGCGAAGCUGGAAAAUUUGCGAUCUUUUUAUUUCGGUUCAGUUUGAUGGCAAAAAAGCAGUUCAUAUGAUUUCUUGUGCUUUAUUUGGGAAGAUAGUAGCAAUGUGUUUCCUUAGGCUUAAUUCUGCUACAAUUUGAUGUGGAUGUUUUGAAAUGGGAUUAGAGAAUCCUACUCCGAAGGGUUAAAAUUGUUGCUGUUUCGGGUGUGGUGAUGCUUGAGUGAAUUUUCAGCUCUAGAUCAUAGUGAUGUCGCUUGUCCUAUGUUUAUUAGCUUUAGUAGAAGGCUAGAUUUGAAUCCAGUUUGUGGGUUUAGCUUAUUUUUAUUCAGUUCCGGCCAAUCUUGAAGAGAUAAUUUGAGCAGAUUUGAGGCUGAUUCGAUCCGUGUAUAUCUCAUUUUAAGGAUGUUCUUGUCAUAGAAAAUGAUCACUCCUUGAAACCUGUCUGACUGUGCAGCUUAGCUUUGUUAAUCUAAGUUCUUUGAAAUGGUUAUCGUUGUAUGAUAUGUGCUCAACCUACUUAAUUGAUAAAUGUGGUUAAGAUGGAGUCAAAUUUAUCUUUAUUUCUCAUGGUUUGAAUACUUAGGAUGCACCUACAUUGUCAAUACUAGAACAAGUUUUGUCAGAAUUCCUGGCAAUUGCAUCGUGAAUUCAAUCAAAUGAGUGAACAGAAUCCAACAUUGACAGCUUACUGUUUUCUGCUGUUAGGGUGCACUGAAGCUGUGCCUGAGCUCCACCUUGCUAAUCGACUUGACAUAAGGUGAGAAAAACAUACAUAGCUCUCUGUGUUGGAUUAGCACCGAAGUGGGAAACUAUAACCAUUCGAUCAGGCCAUGGUCGGUCAAAGUUUGGAGGGUCUAUGCAGCACCAGAUGUGGGACGGACACUGCCAGGUGGGUCUUUGGUCAGGGACAUGGAAACAUCAUUUGAGGUAUUGUCUGUAAAUGGUCAAUUGAAGUCCAAGCAACCAGUUAAGCAGGGAAAAGAUGAUGACAAUAUCGUGGUAGUUGAAGAGAAAUCUUCUAUCAAGGAUAAUGGAACGAAAGAUGUAGUUUUGGUGAGAGCAUAUCCUCGGAGUGUUAGGACGCAUCAAAUCCGCUUGCAUUGCCAGUAUCUUGGGAUUCCCAUAAGAGGUGAUGUGAAGUACGAGGGUGUGUAUGAGUGGGAAGGGCAAAUAAAUGACUACCACACUCUUCAUGCCGAGAGCUUGUCCUUUGAGCACCCAGUAACCGGUGUGCACCUGAUGUUUCGAGCACCUUUACCUGCGUGGGUUGCUGAGUGCUGCCCUAAUGAGAUCCCACCUGCUUUUUCUUCAAAUGAAAAUCAUGCUAGAUGAGGCUAUAAACGCUUCAUUGGAGGCUGAUGAAUUUGCUAAUUUAGAAAAGCUGAGGCUCUUUCUAGGCAAUUGUGUGUCCUUUAUUGGAGACUUCAAUAAUCUUCUGUCCGAUUUAAGAAUGCUUUCUUUUUAUGAAAGGAGAUGGGCUUUUACAUAUGGUGGUCCUUCCAUGUUUCAAGCAAAAAACUUUCAUCCAACUAAUUUAGUCGUUCUUCACAUUUCAAGUAGCAGCAUUACGGAAGAAAGUAUUGAUUUGAUCAAAGUACGAUACGAGUCCCACUCCUUGUAUUAAUAAAUCAUUUCUUUUCAUUUUUUCUUGCAGUUCGUUUCUCAAUGGAUAUUUUAUCAAAUUGUUUUGCAGGCGGCAAGGAAACUAAAAGUCCUAGAUCUCAACCGUUGCAUAAACUUAAGGAGAACACCUGAUUUAUCUACGUUGGUGUCUUUGGAGAUUUUGGGAAUAACACAUUGUAUGAAAUUGGAAAGUAUCGAUUGGAUCAAAGUAUGAUACGAGUCUCACUCCUUGUAUCCAUAAAUCAUUUCUUUUUAUAUUUUUUUAUAGGUCAUUUCUCAAUAAAUAUUAUUGUUUUGCAGGCGGCAAGGAAACUAAAAGUCUUAGAUCUUAGCCGCUGCAAUUACUUAAGGAGAGUGCCCGGUUUAUCUACGUUGGUGUCUUUGGAGAUUUUGAGAUUACGUAAUUGUUGGAGGAUAAAGAAACUUCUAGACUCGAUUGGGAAAUUACAAUCAUUAAUCGAGUUGAAUUUGCUAGAAACAAAUAUUGAUCACCUACCAGAUUCAUUCAGCAAUCUAAAGCAACUGACAACACUUAGGAUGAGGGACAUUAAGGGAGGGUUGACAAAAUUACCUAGUGCGAUCUGGUUUGUUCAGUUUGUGGCUCAUCGGGAUGAGUUCAUCACAAGUGAGCUGUACUGUUUGAAAAUGCCAGACUUGUCAUGGACCUAAAUAAUCGGAUUACCUACCGUGGCGAGUCUCGUCUCUAAUAUCCAUAAAAUUGAGAUAGCCGCACGGGAUAGCAGACGGUUUUGGGAUCCAACGUGGGACCCCCUUGGUGAGCUGGAGAAUGUCUUUGCUUUUCCCUAUGGAUCCAGUCAUACCC